Molecule: long non-coding RNA, 52747 nt
Filed under: Hordeum vulgare
Lineage: Eukaryota; Viridiplantae; Streptophyta; Magnoliopsida; Poales; Poaceae
Description: long non-coding RNA (HVUL_LNC017295)
Source: RNAcentral
AAUUAUCAUACUGUCCAACGUACAUUUCAAAACAAAUUAUUUUUCUUGGCUUACACACAAAACAAUGACUAGAGUUCAAAUUUUAAAGGAAGAGAAACAUUCAUUUCACUAUAAUUACUCAUUGACAGAUACAAACACAAUGCAUGGAUCCUUGAAAAAUAACUUGGUCCAUAUGGGUCCGCCCCUUCGUCCAAAGCUUUGUUUUUUUUUUUCCGCUAUCAAAUAGAUUAUAAAAGGAGUAUAAAAGGAAGCUAAUCUGAAUUGGAAUCAGGAAAACCGGCUUAUCCCGAGUGGUCGCGCAGCUGCACCUCAACCAGCAGGUUGGGGAUAAGACUCCUAGGGGUGGGUUUUUUUCCUCCAUGAAAUCGUGCAGUAGAGCGCGCGCAAGAUGCAGAUUAGAUGCAAACCGCGCCAUUCGGAUCUAAACACCAAAUCGGAACAUUCAGAAAAUACAAAAAUAGUUUAUUAAAAGAGAAUGUUGACGACAGAGAUAUGUAGAAGUGUAAAAGAAUGAUGUACAAGAGACUAUGAGUUUUUCUAUGUGUUCACACAGAGAUGGGGUGAAAUAUGCUGCAGGGGAAGUGCCUUUAAGACAUGUGAAGGUCAUGGAGAAAUUAAUAAGAUGCACCGAUCAGAUGUGGCAGCAUGGUUUCUGAAGAAACUAUGAACACAUGCAAAAGUUACAAUAUCAUUUUCCAGUGGCACAUCAUUAUUUGUACUCCCAACGUCACGGUUUAGAAGGCACAGUUAAAUUUACGUGCAUUUUCAUAAUGGACAAGGUUUAAGGCGCGUUGCAUUUACUCCUAGCAGCUAAGUAGUAAUUCGUUGUACUAUUUCUAUAUGCAUGCGUAGUGUGAAUGCUAUUUUCCAGCCCAUCUCACAGCAAAUCAAUAACCACCUAGGUUUCAUAGAAUUUCCAAACACGCCUUCUAAACCGUGAUGGAGGUAGUAACAAAAACAGAAAGACCCAGAAAUAAAUUGUAUUUUAGCUACAGCAAAACGCAAAUGAAAAAUGAAAACGUUUUUGUCAAUCCCUAGUGCAAAACGGAUGCUAGUUGUAUUUGGUAAUAUUCCUAAAUGCACAUAACAUUUUGAUGUUUUUUAACCGAAACAUAAACAUACAAAUUAGAUAUGUCUCUGUAAGGAACAAUUUGUAAGGAUUGCUCGUCUCAUUCCUGAACUGCAAAUAAUCCUUUGCGAAGUUUCUGGUCCAAAAUUUGGUCCAGUAUUAUGUAACACAUGAUCAUGACAUGAAUCAAUGACAAAUACAUCUUUUCCAGUUGUCUAACUACAAAAAAUCAAGCAUGAUCACUUUCUCUACCGACCCUAUCACCAUUGUGUAUUGCACUUAAUGAAGCUAAUUAAUCUACUUAAUCUACUCUCAUAUUAAUUUAGGCAAGUAAACCUGUCCCUGAUCCCUUUCCUCUCGGGGCAUCAAAUGUCUGGACCAUUAGUUUUUUAGAUUUAGCUAUUUCUGACCGUUAGAUGUACAUGGCGCUCUGUUUCCUGUAAAAUCAUGACAACAAGGUGGGCUUGAUGUGUUGAGGGAAGCUAUUGCCGUACCUUUUUGGAGUACUAUGGUUAAUAGCGCCAACGUUGAAAGCAACUGUAUGGACCUUCAGGAUUGUGCCUUCAUGAGCCCAUUUCCUAUGUACAUACUGGGCAACCAAAGCCAUCGAGGCGAUGGUGGUUAGCGCAUCUAGCGGAUAGGAAAGCACAGCCAGGAGAGGCCGAACACCACAACGCGUCUCUCACUCGAAACUAACAUAUGAUUACGUUCAGCCAUCUGCAUAUGCUUUCUGGUGCCACUAUAUAUUUGCUUCCCGAGAUUAUCCAGGUGACAAGAAAAUCAGGUCACUACAAGAAAUAUGCUCAUAUGUGAUGUUUUUUAAAAUGUCGUUGAUGAAUUCGUCAUAAAUCUAUGACGAUUUCAUCCGAGAUCGUCGUAAACCGUUUGAGAGGAUCAAAUCUACAUAUAAAUUACGACGAUGUGAGUCAAAACGUCGUAACCGCAUAAGAUGAGAUCGUCAUAACUUUUACGACGAUUGUAAAAAUGUCGUAACAUGUUCUAACUAUGUUGACAUGUCACUCGUGGGUCCAUUCUAUCCCACCUGAUCCUAGUUUGUGAAGCAACCUACUAUUCUAUCAUUUCAAAAAUUCUCAAAAAAUUCUCAUAAAUACUUUGGACUAUAUAUUCCUCAAAUAUGUGAAAACCCUCCCUUCCAUAGUUCAAAAAUAAUUCAAAAAUAUUCAUUUUCCUAUUCUGUUAAGAAUAGCACUUUGUGAAGGAAGUGUUAUUUCUAUUUCUUUGAUUACCCUCAUAUUGUUUGGGCCCUCUUUCCUAUCCAAAUCAUUGCCUCAUGAAAACUUUUGUAACGAUUUGCCUAGUAAAUCUUUCUCAACAAAUUUCCAAAGUUUGUGUUCAGCUAACAGCUUUGUGAAGGAAGUACUAGAUAGGAAUAUCCUGAUGAGUUGAAUUUUUUCCACAUCAUCUAUGUGCCCAAAACGUAGCUCUCCAUAAAAUUUUAGCCACAUCUAACAAUUCAUGUGAGCUCAUCAUCCAAUCUUUGUUUUUGGUAAUAUUUUCAUUUUGUGAAGCAACUAUGUUUUAUAUUGCUUUAUAGUUGAUGAAAAAAUUACCACGGAUGAUACUGACCAUAUAACCUUACUGCACCAAAUUUUAGCUCAUUUAAUUCAGCCAGUUUCUCUCAAUAUUUUUCCCAAUAUUCUAUUCAGUAGAGAGCAUUGUGAAGGAAGUACAAUUUUUGUUUAUUCAAAUUUUAUGAUUUUUUACAGUACCUUAAUGUGCCCAAAUUAUCAUCCUCCUCCAAAUUUAAGCUCAAUCCAAUCAUCUAUUUGAGCCCAGUUUUAAUUAACAUUUUCUGUCCAGAUUGGCACAUUGUGAAGGAAGUGUCACUUUGGCAUGUCCAAAUGGUAUAAUUUUUAUACAGUGCCUUCAUAUGCCCAAAUUAACAUCAUACACCAAAUUUCAGGUCAAUCCAUUCAUUCAUUUGAUCCUAGCUUCAACAUCCAUAUUUCUGCACAAUGUGUUACUUUGCAAAGCAAGUGCCACCUAGAUUCAUCCAUUUGAGAUAAAAAUUUGCCAAGAGAGUCUCCUUAGUAGAUGAUCAUCCUCAGCCAAAAUUUAGGCCCAUUGUCUAUGUGAAUUACCCGCACCGCUAAUCAAACACUUGGUUGCUAAUUCAUGUUUGUGCUUAGUUCAGUCUCCUCAUGAGAUUAUUCUAUUGUAUUAUUCUUGCUAACACCUAUCGAGGGAUUGUCCAACCCACCAGACAUGACUAUUCCACCUAGAACAUGUGGCAAUGCAAUGGUUAGGCGGUGACCAUGCGACUGGCAUGCAAGUUCACGCACUCUGGAGUUGGGGCCCUCGACCAUCAUGCAAACCUCGACGUCAAGGCACCACACCAUGUAUUUAUGAUUAAAUAGAUACUUAUAUGCCUAUAAAUGAUUUUUGGGAAAAAUAAAGAGCAAACUAUAAUGCAGCUGUAGUUCAAAUUUGACCCGCUUCCAGCUGAAUCAACAUAAAUUUGUCUUUUUCACGAGAGGUGGAUAAAAUCUUUUAACACCCAACCAUUUUGUCAAUUGUACAUUAAAUAUGGACUAGUAUUUUAUAAAAAUGAUUUGAUCCAAUUUUAAAACAAAUAUAUGGUAGGUCCUUCACAAAACAACUCAUUUUGAUCACUUGAAAAAUGGAAAAUGAAUUUUAAUGAAAACUUCCUUGAUCAACAUUGUUUGCCAUUCCGAUAUGCACCCUUGUGCAUAAUAUUAUAUCAUUUUAACAAACUAUGUCAUGAAUGUGGCUAUAAGAUUGAUCAUUUGGCUUGAAAGUCAUGAAUCUUCACACAUGAUAGCUCAUUUCUAAGAAUACUUGUUUAAAAUAAUUAUCGUAUUACAAGUUUAUUAUUUUUCCCGGUAACUUUGUCACACAUAAUGACACAAUGCAAUGGUUUUCCAUUUUUUUGAAUUUGUUUUGAAUUUUUCAUGGCCAUUUCAAAACGCGGUCAAAAUAGCGGGUAUGACCGUUCAUAUCUAGUGGUUGAAUCUUGGAAAUGUUUUGAUGUUUCUAUGAUUAAAUAGAUACUUGUGUACCUAUAAAUUGUUUUUAGCAAAAAUAUAGAGCAAACUAUAAUGUAGAUGCAGUUCAAAUUUGACCCGCUUUCAACUCAUUCAACGAAAAUUUGUCUUUUUUAGGAGAGAUCGAUAAAAGCCUUUAACACCCAACCAUUUUGUCAAUUAUACAUUAAAUAUGGCCUAGUAUUUUAGAAAAAUGAUUUGAUCCAAUUUUGAAACAAAUAUAUGGUAGGUACUUCACAAAAAAACUCAUUUUGGUCACUUGAAAAAUGGAAAAUGAUUUUUCAUACAAGGAAAAUGAAAACUUCCUUAAUCAACAUUGUUUGCCAUUCUAAUAUGCACCAUUGUGCAUAAUAUUAUAUCAUUUCAACAAACUAUGUCAUAAAUGUGGCCAUAAAAUUGAUCAUUUGGCUUGAAAGCCAUGAAUCUUCACACAUGAUAGCCCAUUUCUAAGAACAAUUAUUUAAAAUAAUUGUCGUAUUACUAGUUUAUUAUUUUUCCUGGUAACUUUGUUACAUACAAUGACACAAUGCAAUGGUUUUCCAUUUUUUUGAAUUUGUUUUGAAUUUUUCAUGGCCAUUUUCCAUUUAAUAUCACACUCCCUCUGUUCCUAAAUAUAAGUCUUGUAACUAUGCGUGUGCAAAUGCACGGGUCUACGACUAGUAGAUUAUAAUUAUGAAUCGGACAUUCUAAAAUUGGUUAAAAUCCUAUAUAUUUAAAACAUAAAUAAUAAUAAUGAUAACUAAUAAAAAAAUAAUAGAAAAAAGUAUUUAAAAAAAGAAAAAGAAAAAGAUCCCCUGACCCAACUGGGCCAAGUGGCCGAGCUGACCAUCUACCGUCCCGGCCCAUAACCACCCUCGGGCUAACCCUAGCCGACCCGUUCACCCUCCCCACUCCACCCCUCCACUCCCCCCACGCGCAGCAGUCCGCGCCCACCCCCCCCCCCCACGCGCCGCCGCCGCUAGGGUUUCUCACCCUCGCCGCCUCCCUCGCAGGAGGAGCCCGAAUCUCCAGCAGCAGCCAUGAGCGACGACAAGGACACCCUCGACCUCUCCGCCCUUGGCGCCGCCGUCCCCAACGCCGCAGGUUUCUGUGGUGGUGGUUCGAUGCAGAGCUCAGCGCCGAGGACAAGGUCAACCUCGUCGAUUAAGGACAAGGCCACUAAUUUCCAUUUCCCUCGUCGGCAGCGUUGGUGGCGGGAGCGCUCCGGCGAGGAAGGGCGGGCGCCGGAGGCGCGGCCGAGAGGGCGCUGCGUAGGCUCGUGAGUCCCCUUUCCCUUUUCCUCUCGCUACGACGCACGCGCUUGAUUCGAUUCGAUUCGAUUCCGAGGUAGAGCCUCGUCCUCGUCGGAGAUCCGGCAACCUGGAUGAUGAAGGACGCACCGGUAAAGUGUUAGUGGUGGUAGCAAGCCGGACCAUCCCGCCGACCACAGCGAGGCGAGCGGAGGAUGGGCGAACCAACUCUGUCUCUCUAUCUGUCUUGGUGUGCUCUCUCUUCUCUUGGACAGAUUCAGUUCCAUGCCUGCCUGCUACUAGUAUCUCUCUACUGCACUCCAGAGUAACAUGUGAAUGCUAAUUAAAUAAAAAGAAGAGGAAUUUGCCUACUCCUUGAUCCUGGAAAGAUCUUCCACACGCCAAUGGGAAUCAGCAGAGUCAUGUUCAGUGGCCGUGGAGUUCAUUCCACGCCUUGGACCGGAUUCAGGAUGUUGCCUCCUCGCCUGUGCUGUACUAUGCUACGUUCAGCUCCUUAUNNNNNNNNNNNNNNNNNNNNNNNNNNNNNNNNNNNNNNNNNNNNNNNNNNNNNNNNNNNNNNNNNNNNNNNNNNNNNNNNNNNNNNNNNNNNNNNNNNNNCUCUGGACCUGCCAUUCUUGUAUAGGGCCCUCUAAGUGUGGGUCCCACCUUGUCAGGCACCGUCUCCUUGUCGCCAUGGUUCUACAUACCUAUCUCUUGAUGCACACUGAUGCUGCCAUCCUUCCAGUUGCAACAUGAAUCUUUAUGCAAUCAUGCAUGCUAGCUCGCUCACUGUUUGAAGUUCUCAGAUGAAUCAACUAGAACAAUAGCAUCACAUCUGCUGUUUCCCGGCCUUGNNNNNNNNNNNNNNNNNNNNNNNNNNNNNNNNNNNNNNNNNNNNNNNNNNNNNNNNNNNNNNNNNNNNNNNNNNNNNNNNNNNNNNNNNNNNNNNNNNNNNNNNNNNNNNNNNNNNNNNNNNNNNNNNNNNNNNNNNNNNNNNNNNNNNNNNNNNNNNNNNNNNNNNNNNNNNNNNNNNNNNNNNNNNNNNNNNNNNNNNNNNNNNNNNNNNNNNNNNNNNNNNNNNNNNNNNNNNNNNNNNNNNNNNNNNNNNNNNNNNNNNNNNNNNNNNNNNNNNNNNNNNNNNNNNNNNNNNNNNNNNNNNNNNNNNNNNNNNNNNNNNNNNNUCGGCUUUUUCUUGUAUAUAUGCUCAUGUCAAGAUGCGUUAGUAUAUGUAGGAGAGAGGCAGUGGUGAUGCCACAUCAAUGCUUUUUAUCACAAUAAACAUCCAUACCGAAAUCUAUAUAUGUAUUACUAAAACUAAAAUACGGAUCAAGAUAGAGGAAUAUGCUAGAAAAUCCCACAACAAUAAGAAUAUGUCUCUUGGAAACUUUCAUUCAGGCAAGCAGUUAUUUCAGUACAGAAAAAAAAUGUGUUCAAUAGAUGUUGUCCAAUUCAUUAAGGGCAAUAAAAUUGGACCCUUUCUAAGCCUUUUAAAAUUAGACCAUCGGAUCGCACGUCUCAGUCACCAUGUAAGGCAGUUUUUCUUAGGCAUGGGCUGAUACUGGGCCGGUUCCGUUUGUCCUUGGGCAGAUAUUCCUAUAGCCAAAUCCAAAGCCCAUCACGUUUCACUUGUUCAUCAUUUGAAGUUCACGGAUGAAUCAACAAGAACAACAACANNNNNNNNNNNNNNNNNNNNNNNNNNNNNNNNNNNNNNNNNNNNNNNNNNNNNNNNNNNNNNNNNNNNNNNNNNNNNNNNNNNNNNNNNNNNNNNNNNNNNNNNNNNNNNNNNNNNNNNNNNNNNNNNNNNNNNNNNNNNNNNNNNNNNNNNNNNNNNNNNNNNNNNNNNNNNNNNNNNNNNNNNNNNNNNNNNNNNNNNNNNNNNNNNNNNNNNNNNNNNNNNNNNNNNAUGCCUCCUAGUCAUAUGUGUUUGCCAUACCCGUAUGUAUAUAUGCGUGCGGCAUGCUUGGCUUUUUCUUGUAUGCUCGUGUCAAGAUGGGAUAGUAUAUAUAGGAGAGACGCAGUGGUGAUGCCACAUCAAUGCUUUUUAUCACAUUAAACAUCCAUACCGAAAUGUAUCUAUGUGUAGAGCCAUAUACAUGCUAAAACAACCAGACCAAAGUCAACCACGGUGGCUUUUUAUCACAUUAAACAUAGUAAAACAAAAGUACGGAUCAAGGUAGAGGAAUAUGCUAGAAAAUCCCACAAUAAUAAGAAUAUUUCUGUUGGAAAUUUUCAUUCAGGCGAGCAGUUAUUUCAAUAUAGAAAAAAAAUGUUUUCAAUAGAUGUUGUCGAAUUCAUAGAUUGCAUGAUUGACUUCUGGGUUAACUAAUUGUGCUACUGAACAAUUAGGAGAAACAGAAAGAGAGUGUGGCCGGCCGUGCCGUGGUUAGCUACCUAACGUGCUGAUGCUCGGGUCCUGCUCCUUUUCAGGAUGCCGCUCUCAGCGAUGGCAACGGCAGCGACUACGUACACCACCAACAACAGCUACCAGCCCGCCACUAUCCCCACUAAUUAACGCCUCAUCCUACCCUCAGCAAUUUGCCGCCAACAGCUCUGGGCUCUGGCCAAGCACCCGAUGUUGUGCCCGCACUUGCGCUCUGCCGUGGCGACAUCGCUAAUAACACGACAUGUAAGGAUUGUGUUGGCGCCUCCUUCCGGCACGCUCAGCAGACGUGUCACAAUAAUGAGGCUGCCACUGUCUACAACAACUAUGGUGCCAUAAGGCUGGUCAUAGUGGGAGUAACUAAGGUAGUAUCAUGUACUUGGGACUAGCAAACAUGUUGAUUUGACAGACAAUUAAAGAAGAAAGAUAGAGUUAGAGUAACAUAGGUAGAUACUGUAACAUGUUAAAUACUAUGCUACUAUGUGUUAUGCAUGUUAAUAAAUAAGGUCAUCUAUGAUACUACUUUAUGAUAUUAUGCACUAUGAACGUAGUAUCAUACAAUAGUAUCAUAUGCAUGACACUACUAUAUGAUACUCCCCAUUAUGAUGAGACUAAACAACUAGCGAUCGGUCUACGAGAAUGGUACACUCUUCGAGGCUUGGAAUCCGGGAAACAUCUCCUACCAUCACCGCCGCAGACAUCCACAACCCGCUGAAUGUGACUGCCCAGGACGUGGCCACCAACAGCGCGAGACGGUACUCCCUAGCNNNNNNNNNNNNNNNNNNNNNNNNNNNNNNNNNNNNNNNNNNNNNNNNNNNNNNNNNNNNNNNNNNNNNNNNNNNNNNNNNNNNNNNNNNNNNNNNNNNNGGGGAAGCCCAUAGGCAUUGAGGGUGGCGCACCAGCCCUUAGUGGGCUGGUGGGACAGCCGAAAAGAGCCCUAUGCGCAUUGGAAGAAAAAUGAAAGAGAAAAGGAAAAAAAAAGAAGGAGGUGGGAAAGGGAAAAGGACUCCACCUUCCAAACCAAGUAGAAUUCGGUUUGGGAGGGGGAGACCUUCCCCCUUAGGUUCGGCCGACCCCUUGGGAGUCCUUGGACCCCAAGGCAAGGCUUCCCCCUCCUCCUCCUAUAUAUAGUGGGGUUUUAGGGCUGAUUUGAGACAACUUUUGCCACGGCAACCCGACCACAUAUCUCCACGGUUUUACCUCUAGAUCACGUUUCUGCGGAGCUCGGGCGGAGCCCUGCCGAGACAAGAUCAUCACCAACCUCCGGAGCGCCGUCAUGCUGCCGGAGAACUCUUCUACCUCUCCGUCUCUCUUGCUGGAUCAAGAAGGCCGAGAUCAUCGUCGAGCUGUACGUGUGCUGAACGCGGAGGUGCCGUCCGUUCGGCACUAGAUCGUGGGACUGAUCGCGGGACGCUUUGCGGGGCAGAUCGAGGGACGUGAGGACGUUCCACUACAUCAACCGCGUUCUAACGCUUCUGUUGUACGGUCUACAAGGGUACGUAGAUCACACAUCCCCUCUCGUAGAUGGACAUCACCAUGAUAGGUCUUCGUGCGCGUAGGAAAAGUUUUGUUUCCCAUGCGACGUUUCCCAACACCUAGACUGGAACAACAAAUGGCGAAGUACAUGUCAUUUUCAAACUUCAUGUUUCUCUCCCGUCUGAAGAAGAUGUGUCGUUUAUGUUUGUCAUUCGCGAAGACUGUCGGGCACGUGGAAGAUGAUGUAUUAUACAGUGGAGUUUCAUCGUACCAAGAGGGCACUUCCCAAUGUCUCCUAUUCCCAUUUUGCACUCGUAUUGUGGUCAGAUUUUCUAGAAAUGAUAGAGCCGGUAAAUCUCCUGAACCAUGGAAAGAAGAUAGACAGUCGAACGGUUCACAUUUACAUGUGAAUUCUCAACCAUAUAUGAUGUGUUUGGUAGGAAUCAAUUUCACGAAAAGGCAGUCUCCAAAUAUAAUGGUGGAAUCCAAUGCUAUAAAUAAUGGUUUUAAUUGCUGAUUUAUAGGGUCAAUUACUUAUCUUCGAGGUGGUGCCACAAAAUCUUGUAAUUUUUUUAUCAUUUGUGACUUGCACAUAGUGUUUAUAUCUGGUUUACUAUUUAGCAGAGCUGGCAAAUAUUUAACUUUCCAAAGAAAUUUGCACAAAGAUCUGUCAUUUUAAUAUUUAUAUAUUUUCAUUGUUUGCAAUUUAGUUUACCUUUUUUGAACAAUAGGAGGCUGCCUAUAUUAUGUAAGAGAAAGAAGUCUUUACUCGACCAAGAGUAAGAGAAACAUUGAGGAAGGACACAUCAACAACCCUUGUGUAGGAAAUGAAUUAACAAUAAUGAAGCAUUAAAAUACUAUGUAAUUUUUUAUCCUAAAAGAAAACAACCGACACUAUGCUCCAAUUGCAUUAUUAACAUUUCUAGGGUGUAGUUACCAUACCAUUUUCCAGUUUUUAAUUUGAUAUAUUAUAAUGCUCUACAAGAUUUGGGGAAGAUACUUAGCUAUGUGAGACGCCAUCAACCCUGCAGUAUCAAAAACUAUAUAAUAUUGUACAAUGUAAAGUUGCUUUCGUAUGGCAAAACUAGGAUCCGUCCCCACAAAUAUUUAGUUUGGGCAGGUACUGGUGGGUGAACGGUGGGAUAGAUCACCACAUCUUGUGCGUAAGUUGAUGCAGGUAUACCUCUCUCUUGAGCCAGAUACACCGCACUAGAUGCUAUCUAUCUCACACAUAUUCUUAGUUAAUUCUGUGUCUAUAUAUUUGAUAAACAUUGGUCCGAUCCCAAAGUCGGUUCAUAUGAAGAUAAUUAAGGUGCCAUAAAAAAUAAAGGUCUUUAUGUGGUUCGUGCACAAGGAAGUGAUCUUGACCAAGGACAACUUGCCAAACAUAAAUUGGUGGAUAGCAAAUGGUGUUGUUUUUCUGAUAAAGAAGGAUCAAUACAACAUGUUUCUCCCAAAUGCACACUAGCCAAGUUAUUGUGGUAUACUCCCUCCGUUUCUAAAUAUAAGUCUUUUUUAGAGAUUCCAUUAGUGGACUAUAUACGGAUGUAUAUAGACAUACUUUAGAAUAUAGAUUCACUCAUUUUGUUCCGUAUGUAGACUACUAGUGAAAUCUCUUAAAAGACUUAUAUUUAGGAACGGAGGGAGUACAAUAUAUUUGUCUUUUAUAUGUCCGUCCUCCUAACAACAUCUAUAGUCUAUUUCAAAAAUGGUUGAAUUGGAUAGAGCCUAAUAAAAUUGCACAUAUUCGAGUCGGAAUGUGUAUUACUUUGGGAUAUUUUGAAUUGUCAGAAUGAUGUUAUUUUUAGCCGAAAAAAACAUCACAAUAUUUUUGCAAGUCCUCUUCACGGCGUCUGGAUUGAUACAUAUGUGGUCGUUUGUCCGCCGUACGGAAGUCAGGGAGCAUAUAGCCUAUGGAUGCAAUCGCUGGGAGAUAGUUGCACAUAAUACAUUCAACCGGUUUGGCUGACAAUUAAAUAAUAGGACUGGUUUUUAGUCAUAUGGUCCUAUUUUACCGGUUGUGGCCUUUUAUUCUAUUCAUUUGAGCUUGUUUGCCAACAUGUGUUGAACUGUGUACUUCGAUGCUCUUUUGGUUAAUAAAAUGACUGUGUGCAUCACUAGAUACACGAGCCGGGGAUGAUUCUUCUCUUCCGGAAAAAAUAAACCAUGAAACAUAAUUUGUGACAGUCAAAAUGAUGUAUAUAGAUAAGUAGGUGUAGACCACUUUAGUAUAUGUAGGCAGAAAGCAUAUCAAUACAAAGUAAUUUGUUUUUUCCUGUACAUAACCUACAUUGUGCUAAUAUUCUAGGUAUGCUAAUUUUUCUUUUUCAUUUGCACGUGUGAUAUAUAUAGUGUUCAUCCUGUUGAAUAGUUUGUCUCUAUUUUAUUGGUCAUGUCUAUUAAACCGAACUAUUGAUGUCAUGUCUUCAUUCCCUUUAAAUAAUGUUUUCCGUGAAAACAAAGUAUCCUUUCAUGGUAGGCUUGUAAAGUUGCAACUGCCUAUUUCUACCAACCCCGCCUCCUGAUUUUGACAGUGUUGUAUGAGCAUAUGUGAAGUAAAGUAUAUCAUGUGUCCUUAACUAUGAGGUCUCUACGGUGAUUUCGUCUACCUCAUUAUUCGUCAUCUCAAUCUCUCAAAAGUCCUCAUAGGGACCAUGUGUGUGUGUGUGUGUGCGUGUGCGUGUGCGUGUGUGUGUUUAAGCGUCCGUUUCCGAUUUGUAUUCAUGUAUUACCAAAGGGCUAGUUUCGAGUAGUCCACAUUAAUCAUGCACGCAGAUUCCCUCCACCAUAUCACUUGAUGGACAUUGCUAUCUGCAUGAGUUAGCAUGUAGUAGUUAUUCAUCUCAAUAAGUAUAACAUGGCAAUAAAAUUUAAGCAAGCUCACACACUAAAGAUAUUUGGUAAAAUGUAUAGCUGCAUCAAUGCCCUAUAUAUUCAUUCGACCAAACUAAUAUCUUGGCUUCUCGAUGCUUUCCUCUGUUUUCAAUGGAAAAUAUGCACAAACAGAAGACAUAUGAACAUGCAAUCUCGUCUAAGCUAGAUCCAAACGGGAUACUAAUUAGCAAGGGUUGAAAGACAUGUUACUUCAUAGUCAUUUCAUAGCUAUCGUAUCCGAAAAAAAUCAAGAUAAAAAAGAAUAAAAAACAAAUGAUUGCAAAUUUAAAACAAUCUAAGCAACAAAAAAUAUUUCAUCAAGAUCAUUAGCUGUCAAUUUACAUGAUUAUAGCAAACAACGAUUCCCCUAAUUCGAAUGUGGCAUCUAUGUUACCAAUUCUCUUCCAAUAUUUAUUCACCAAAGGUUACCAAACAUGUCUAGCGAAAAUGUCCUAGUGCGAUAAAGAUUGGUCUAGAUGCACGCCGAGAUCACAGUACAAGUAGAGAUAGUGAAGGGCUACUUUGGUCCACUAGGCAAUAAUCCUCUCUCUCUCUCCUGGUCUCUUCUAUUCGGAAAUACCUCUUCUGACGUUCUACUUUUCUUACCGUCUUGUAAUUUCUAAGGAUAUUUCUACCGGUAAGGAUCCGAUGGAGUAACGCUAGUGGAGUAAAAAGUUACUCUACUAACAGUGGCCGCACCUAGCCGCCCCCCUAUACUUAGUAGAGUAAAAAUAAAAUUGUGUAUGUUUGGUGUCCUAGCCGCAUGAACUUUAAGCACGAUACACUAUAUAUAUUAAAACAUUCAAAUAAAACACAUGAAUAACAUAACCGUCAUAAUAUAUUGUUUCAUCACCGCGUUUUCCGAAUUAAACCAUGCAAAUUUCACCCAAAAUAACAUCUCUUCAAACACAAUGUUUGAUCCAAAAUCACCACAAACAUGGCAUGUAUAUGUUGUGAAUUGAUCCAACCAAUGGCAUGCACAAACUCAAACGAGGUGCUCAGCUAAGAAAAAAAAUCAUUGUCACCAACACCAUCAUCCUCUCGGCCACCUCCUCCAUCUCGCCCACCACCAUCACCACCGCCAGCUCCUCGACCAUCACCAUUACCACCAUCACCUCCUCGGCCCUUGUUUGCUCUGUUUGAACCGUUGCAUCCAUGGAGAUUGCACACCAAGCAUCACAAAGAGCAAUAUCUUCUUUUUGAUUGUGGUUGGCUGUGCGUGACCUUGAUGUCCAUGUGCUUUCUUCGGUCACAUUCACAACCUCCUCUUAAUCAUCGCCCACCUCCUCUGCUUCCCAGGCCACCUCCUCCUUUUGCUCCAUGGCUUGGGCCGCUUUCGAAUGUUGCCAAAUGUUGUCAUAGUUGAGCUCAUCAAAUCCCAUCGUGGCCAAGGAAUCCAAAGACGCGAAGAACUCAGUCGUGUUCAUCUCCAUAGUACAACAACAAAACAAAGAAAGUAUGUCACCAUCGGCUACAAAAAAUUACCUUGUAUUCAUUUCAUCAAUAACUUGGCGCCUGCGGCCCUUGUUGCAGCGACGGUGGUUUUGAGCGAUGGUGGCUGGCAUGGGCGCGUGUUCAUAGCGGGCAUGGGCGCGUGUGUGGUUUUCAACGACGGUGGCUGGCAUGGGCGCGUGUUCAUAGCGGGCAUGGGCGUGUGUGUGGUUUUCAGCAAUGGUGGCUGGCAGUGUGUGGGAAGAGACUAGGCUAUCCAUUCCUGCCAGAGGGAGGGUCAUCGUUUGGCAACGGCAGGGCGUGGUGGCUGCGGCCGCGAGAGCACAUAUGGGAGAAAGAGAGGCACCUUUGUUACUCGGCCGCUACCGAGGUGAGUAUAUUUAGGGAAAUUGCAGUGGAUAAUGGGGGUUGUAGGAUAAUUUGAACUCCACAAUACCGGUAAGGGGAUAGGCUAGGAACACCGUAAGAGAGGAAAACCGAAUUUAUCCUUCCUUAAGGCCUCAUUGGGGAUCGGUUAGAAAUGCGCUUAGCUGCUUAGUAGAUGGGAAGCACUAAGAUCCUCCAUAGCGGCCACCUUGGAAUCCUUCAUCGUCUUCGGCCCGGUCAAGAAAAUGAACCGGCGCUCGACCUCCUCUGACCCGAGGUCAUCACUUGACACCCGUGCCUGGUGCUCCCGCCUAGAGUAGUUGUACAUUGAGCAAUUGGGACUGGAAGUUUACGGUAUGAAUGGUGGUUAAGGGAACCGGCGGUUGAUCGCCAACGAAGUGUUUGAUGCCACCCGAUGUGCUGUCAGAGAAGAGGUCCGGUAUAGAAAACUUAUAUAGACUGGUUUAACUACUCUCGAGUCUGCGCACACACCUUAUCCAGGCCACUGGCAAGUGGGUGUUGCAUCUUCGAGAUCUGAACUCUUCUCUGUUAUACAAGAAUGUUUUGCGGACGAAUUAAACUGUGAAAACGGCAGGAACAAGCCAAAAAUGUAAAUCCUGAUGGCAGAUUCCCAUGGAGUACAUGCUGUCAUCAUGUCAGUAGGCUGUCAACCCAAUAUACUAGUAGGCCAGCACCCUUUCACAUCUCAGCUGCCGCUGCUCAAGGAUUAAGAAGACUACACUCUGCGACAAUCUUGCACUCCUUUCCUUUCUAAAUAUAAGGUUUUCCAUAGAUUUUAAUAUAGACUACAUACGGAUGUAUAUUGACAUACUUUAGAGUAUAGAUUUACUUAUUUUGCUUCAUACGUAGUUCAUAUUGAAUUCUCUACAAGGACUUAUAUUUAGAAAUGGAAGAAGUACAUUUGUUUUCUUCUUUAAAUGUAGAGUAUUGCAACCAUUGACUUUUCGGUGCAAGCCAUGUCACCUGAAAGUGCGAACGUCUACAGUAUUGAUCCUCGAGGCUAGACUUACACAGAGUUUACAAACAAGCCGAAUUGUCUAACUGCCUCAGGUAUACACAAGUCAACUACUCCUAAAAGUUAGCACGACCCAUUGUGGGCUGUUGAACGUGCAACGAAACUAGUGGGUGUGUGCUUGGAGUUUUCUGAAGACCAGUUCCAAGAAUGGCCACACUCUGCAUGUGUGUUAGUCGGCGCUUCUGGGCUUGCAAGCCAUUGUAAGCCAUCUCGCGAGACAUGGUGACUUGGUGAGCUAAGAUCGAACGAACUUUCGUAUCUAGGCAAGCCCGGCAAUGACCGGCUCGUAAUUUUAAGAGCUCAACCGAGCGAAGCCUCCAGAAGUAUCGGCACGACUCAUUUGCACUCUUAGUUCCUGCCCGGUGUCUCUCAUCCUCAAUUUUUCAUAUUAUCUUGCAUGUUACUGAUGUUGGUCCAUGCAAAUAUAAGUUACGAGGUGAUUAAGACUCAAGGAGCCAGCAUCGUGAAGUGUGAGGAGAGCCACUCCAUAAACCACUAGGUCACGGCUCGUCUAGUUUUUGCUCCUUGUGUGUGAUAUAUAUUUGAUAGGAGAAGAAAAUAGUGUCUCGAGCUUCAGCUAGUGACUUCUGUUAUUUUCAUGAGCCUCAACACUAUUAGGGGGUGGGCAUUUCUACUGCUAGUCUACUACACAUUGACUUUGUCUCCUCACCAGGUAUCACGUUAUUGCAGGGUAUCGAUUUUAUUUUGAUGGUUGAAUAGGCAAUGCCCUUUUCUUGGUGGAACACGGAAUAUACAUGCCGUGUGUUAUUUGACAAUAUUGCUCUUUAUGUGAAGGAUUUAUGCAUGUUGCAUUUGUUUCUCAAUAUUUUUAUUUUGCAUGCAUAGCAUGCUAUCGUUCUAUGCAGAGGAGUCAUGUGUGCGUUGUGUGUGGUUUUAUUUUUCUUCAACCACAUUUUCAAUAGUUUCAUGGAUAAGUUCUGUAAUUCGGUUAGAGUGCACUUUAUGGCUAAAUCUGACACGGCAAUAAGGUAAAUAUAACUGAGUGCAUGUCUUAUAUGUAGUUAGACUGUAAAUACAAGUUAGCCCUAUAAUAGCAUACCAUGCAAGGCUGCAAGGGCACCGGAGGAGGAGCAGGCUGCAAGGGCCAUGCAAGGGUGUGCAAGGAGCUCGACAUCAAGUUGAGGCCCAGGGCGAGGGGCUAUCUAGAGGACCAAAGGCACUACCAUAAGCCCAACUAGAGGAAAAGAAGGCCCAUAGGUUGACACCUCAUGUUGCCCAAGUGUUCUAACUCCAACACGAGUCACGUCCUAUAGUCGUGCUUUCACACGCACCACCCCCCGCUCCAUCUGCUAUGGUGAGUGUGUGGGCUUGGGCCCCACAACCGUAUGCACCCACCUUCCAUUUCAUGCAUUUUUUAUUGAAAAAUUGACAUGAGGGAUCCACCCGGAUGUCCUCACGACGCAGGACACGUUCUUCGAUCUUGGCUCGCCGUGGGCGGAACGGAGUUACAAGAUGCAAAGGUAGAAGAGCAAAUGGAUAUAAUCUGGGAGGGAGAGACGAGGGGGAGACAAUAAAAUAGGGGAAAUCAGAUCUGAUGAUGGUGUGUGUGCACAUGGGCGGCGGCCGAGGUCAUGUCUUUUUUUGUACAUGCUCCACCAAGGACAUGAAAUUUGUGCUAACCCCAUCUGCCUUUGGUCGUGGCGUCUCAUUGGUAUCGGCGGCUUUAAACUAGUUGGGCCUGAACUAGAAUAUAUCCAAAUAAGAAUAGGACUUGUAGAUGUACUAUUAGCCAUGUUGUAGUAUUCAAGUUGCACACCCUCAGCUUGCCAAGGUGGCACCUUCAGGAAGAUAAUGAUGCAGGGAACGCCGUUGCCGCCCAGUUUGUAUAGAUUAGAGUUUUUACCCGGGUAUGACAGUGGGAGGGAAGAGGGUAAAAGCACCACGACGACGCCUCCAAGGAGGAAGACGGCACCAGGAGGUGUCGACGUCGUCGUGGCCAGAAAUCCAGCCAGGGUCUUCUCCCGGUCUACUAUCACCCCUCCGUCAGCCCCAUCAAAAGUGGAUCCGACGCCCAACAUCCUCCAAGGGCCAGAUCUGGCGGGGGAAGAGGAUGGGAGGGAGAUGAGAGCGUGACCUGUGCCAAACGCUCGCCGCCACGCCGUCCACAUGGCUCAAGAAGAGGGAGGGCACCACCAAUCGAGUGAGGCUUGCCGCCAAACAACCGCAGCCGUAUGAUCUGAGGCCGACGCCUCGACACCGAAGCCCUCCGAGCAGAGCUAGAGCAACCAGAUUUUCACCGCUGCCGUCCUUGAUGAGCGUGCGUGCUUCACAGGAGACCUCCUCUCGCAGCAGCGAGGGGGGGGGGGGGGAGCGGGGGGGAGGAAACCCCGGGNNNNNNNNNNNNNNNNNNNNNNNNNNNNNNNNNNNNNNNNNNNNNNNNNNNNNNNNNNNNNNNNNNNNNNNNNNNNNNNNNNNNNNNNNNNNNNNNNNNNGCCUAUGGGCUUCCCCGGGGUGGGUUGCCCCCCCCCCUCCCGGUGAACUCCCGGAACCCAUUCGUCAUUCCCGGUACAUUCCCGGUAACUCCGAAAACCUUCCGGUAAUCAAAUGAGGUCAUCCUAUAUAUCAAUCUUCGUUUCCGGACCAUUCCGGAAACCCUCGUGAUGUCUGUGAUCUCAUCCGGGACUCCGAACAACAUUCGGUAACCAACCAUAUAACUCAAAUACGCAUAAAACAACGUCGAACCUUAAGUGUGCAGACCCUGCGGGUUCGAGAACUAUGUAGACAUGACCCGAGAGACUCCUCGGUCAAUAUCCAAUAGCGGGACCUGGAUGCCCAUAUUGGAUCCUACAUAUUCUACGAAGAUCUUAUCGUUUGAACCUCAGUGCCAAGGAUUCAUAUAAUCCCGUAUGUCAUUCCCUUUGUCCUUCGGUAUGUUACUUGCCCGAGAUUCGAUCGUCAGUAUCCGUAUACCUAUUUCAAUCUCAUUUACCGGCAAGUCUCUUUACUCGUUCCGUAAUACAAGAUCCCGCAACUUACACUAAGUUACAUUGCUUGCAAGGCUUGUGUGUGAUGUUGUAUUACCGAGUGGGCCCCGAGAUACCUCUCCGUCACACGGAGUGACAAAUCCCAGUCUNNNNNNNNNNNNNNNNNNNNNNNNNNNNNNNNNNNNNNNNNNNNNNNNNNNNNNNNNNNNNNNNNNNNNNNNNNNNNNNNNNNNNNNNNNNNNNNNNNNNUAGGGCGAAUUCGUUGCUUUCAUGUAUCUUGUGCACACCUGCUACUAUAGACGUGUUCGGACUCCCUCCGCUCCGCGACUCCACGCCGGAGCGGAUUGGCCGUCCAGUGCUAAAUAGCAGAGUUCCUAAAAUGCAGCUCCGCGUACUCCGCUCCGUGGAGGGAGUCCGAACAGGCGCUAUGUAUGGCCUCUUCCUAAUGCUGCUGCAUUCUACUGUAUAUCUUCCUACAUCAUUAAAUAUCAUAGUGUGUAUUUGCUUUAUUCUGAGAAAACAAUCUGAUUUUGUCGUAAUGAUGUUUAAUUCUGCUGUUAUAUCUGGGACAGUAGGUUUUCACCAUGAUCACCAUUUGAAACAAAUGGUCAUAGUAGUACUUAUCUUUUCUCAAUAGAAUAAAUUAAAGUUUACAUGCAUUGACAGAAUGUCAUUCCUGCAUGCAAGGACUUGAAACCUGCCGGUGUCGCUUGUUCCUCAAAAGGUACACUUCCUCUCAAGUUAUAAGGUCCCAAUCCUGAUGAUCCCGGCUCCUCCUCUGUAGUCCCUGUAAUUAUAUAAUAAUAUGUGGUGCUCACUUUGGAAUAAUAACUAAGUUGUAGUGGUGGACGGGUUAUGUACAUAAGCCUGGCACUUUUUAACGGUUAAGUAUCGAGUCAUGCAUCUGUGUUAACGCAUCUCCCCCUAUAAACUUAAGGGUUUUUAACGGAUUACAAAGAGACUGCACUUGUUCUAUGACAGCGAUAACUGAUAAACGAUAAAUAUGUUGUGUAGUAUCAUGUAACUUGACUACAGACCUCACUCCUAUCACCCAAAAUAACUAGACUGCAAUCUUCUUGUUCUUAAAAGAUUGCUCUUUGCGUUCUUUUGUGGAUUUUAAAACUGCACUACCACAUUGUCACAAUUUUACAAGUUUUUAUUCCUCCCUGAUCAGAUUCUGGUCAAAAGUUCUUCUAAAUCGAAACUUUUUUUUGUCACGUCAUUGCAUACUUGUUGGCUACAUAUGCUAUCUAAAUGACAGAUGAAAACUGGUGCCUUAUUUUCUUGAGAGUCCUGCUAGUUGCUCUUACCAUUGAUGCAUUAAAUAGCUACUGAGAAUGAUUUUUUCUCACAGGUUCCUUAAUUCUUAGUACUGUGUAGUACUGCUAGUUUACAUGUCCCCUGUUAAUAAUUGGCAAUAGCACCUGACUUUUCAUGUUCGUCUUGCUGUGUGCACGCCGUCAAUCAUCAGUAGAGCUUCAAUCAUGAUAUAAGCAUAUAUAAUAAAAACUACUAACGAGGCGUUGCAACCUGUUCGNNNNNNNNNNNNNNNNNNNNNNNNNNNNNNNNNNNNNNNNNNNNNNNNNNNNNNNNNNNNNNNNNNNNNNNNNNNNNNNNNNNNNNNNNNNNNNNNNNNNNNNNNNNNNNNNNNNNNNNNNNNNNNNNNNNNNNNNNNNNNNNNNNNNNNNNNNNNNNNNNNNNNNNNNNNNNNNNNNNNNNNNNNNNNNNNNNNNNNNNNNNNNNNNNNNNNNNNNNNNNNNNNNNNNNNNNNNNNNNNNNNNNNNNNNNNNNNNNNNNNNNNNNNNNNNNNNNNNNNNNNNNNNNNNNNNNNNNNNNNNNNUACAGCACCCUGUUUUGUUGUAGCAAAAAAACAGAUACUGAUAUUCUUGCUGCCUCCAAACAAUGUUGCAGGGCCGGUGGAGUUCGAGACGUUGUGGAACUGCCUCGGGCAAUGGCGGGUGAGUGCUACUGCCAAUUUGCUUGCCAGUAUCGUUUAACUUUGGGUCAUGAAAGUAUGUAUGCUCGUGAAUGAAACAGAGUGCGCACAUUCAGUUCCUGAUGCUCUCUGUUUUCGGGGGGGGGNNNNNNNNNNNNNNNNNNNNNNNNNNNNNNNNNNNNNNNNNNNNNNNNNNNNNNNNNNNNNNNNNNNNNNNNNNNNNNNNNNNNNNNNNNNNNNNNNNNNNNNNNNNNNNNNNNNNNNNNNNNNNNNNNNNNNNNNNNNNNAGGGGGGGGCGGGGGGCGAUGUUUUCGGGAAUCAUUGUUGGUUGUUGUGGGCGUAAGUACAUAUGUGGGGUUUCUUGUUGUGCAGUAACUCUAGAUGAGGAAAUUUUGGUGCUCUCUCAUUUUGGCAAGUUUCUUGGCACCGCGUCAAGAUAGCUAUUUGUCAUAUAUGUAGUGUUCGUUCGGAAUAGCUCGGCUUUUAACUUGCUGAGCAGCGUUCAGUUCCUAGUCCGGUUCAAGUUUCGCACCCCGAAUGAGUGCUGGAUCGUGUUUUCAGUUCUUGGUUGCGCCCUUGAAAAGUGAAUUCGGAUGUGAUUCCAGCAUUGUUAGCUUUUAAUUGAUUGCUGGUUAAAUAUGUUGAAACUUAUUCAUCCUUGUGCUUAGUAGGGAGAUGUUUAUAUUUUCUGAAGAAAUGGCAAGGUGUAACAUUUGCUUUAUGGUAGAUAUUUUUGAGUUUUGUAAUUUUAUCUGUAGGAAUUGUUGACUGUCCUAUAUGGUUCUACACAUUAACAUAGUUAUUGACUGCACAUGGCAACCCCAUAUGUCACUUCAUGAACUAGAGGACUGGUAAAUGUAGCCAACUUUGCUGAUGUAUAACCAUCUGGGAGCUGUGAUAUUUUCUAGUGGGGUGGUGCUGGAUGCAGUGGUGCUCCUCACUUAGCAUAGUAAAUCAGUAAUUAUAAUAGUGAUAAGAGUCAUGAACUAGUGAUAGUAUCUGCUUAACUUUUCCCUUGAAACACAUGACUUAAGUUUCUCAUGGGACUGUUUUGAUGUGACAGUUCUGUAUUUCUAUCUUUAUUUAAAGAACGACAUUUGCUAUCCAGAAAGUAUGCCAUGCUGCUUACUCUGUUAAUAAUCUUAUCUAUGUUGUGAUAAUGCAGAAGGGACCGUGAUAGAGAUGGCCACAGAAGGCAUCGUUGUCGCUCCCGUUCAGAGAGCCAGAGGUAUGUGUUGGAUGCCAUCCAAAGCUAUUAUUCUCAACUUGUCAGUUUGUAAUGUCAUUAAUACUAAGUUUGCUUGUUUCCCUUGAAUAAUCUUUUCUGAGUACAAAACAAUUAGCAGUGAGAGCCAGAGGUAUGUGUUGGAUGCCAUCCAAAGCUAUUGUUCUCAACUUGUCAGUUUGUAAUGUCAUUAAUACUAAGUUUGCUUGUUUCCCUUGAAUAAUCUUUUUUGAGUACAAAACAAUUAGCAGUGAUUUUGGUAUGUGUUAGUUUUUGACGAAGUGCCAAGAAACAUACUCUAUCAGUUGGUGUGGGUACAUUUGUCAUAUAUGUAGUGUUNNNNNNNNNNNNNNNNNNNNNNNNNNNNNNNNNNNNNNNNNNNNNNNNNNNNNNNNNNNNNNNNNNNNNNNNNNNNNNNNNNNNNNNNNNNNNNNNNNNNNNNNNNNNNNNNNNNNNNNNNUGUCAUAUAUGUAGUGUUGUUCUUAAAUUAAUUAAAUGAGCCCGAAUCUUACUGUAUUUUGUUGGCUAUAAAUAGUCUUAAACAAGUUGUUACAAUGCCUAUGCACAUAAUUUGCUCUGCGUGUUCUCAUAUCAGUAACAAUGCUUUCUUUUUUCUUUCUCUUGUGCUUCGACAGGCUGUCCAACUCGUUUCUCAACAGCUCCUUCCUCAACAACUUGUUCUGAGGCAAAACCUGGGAGAACAUGUAUUUGCUAUAUUCUGUCCGUUGUUGCUAUAUUCCUGUGUAAGGAAAUGUAUCCAUGAGAUGAGUUAUUGUGUUAUGUAAACCUGGGAGAUUUAUUAUGUGAUGUUAUAAGAUGGAUGAUUUUAAUUCGACUUGGAGUUUUCUUGAUUUGAAUAUGAAAUAGUGUUGGAUUUAAUAUUGGACAAAUAAUUGGGUUGAAAAGGCCCAAUAAAUAGAAAUGAAACCAAGUUCUGGUAUAAAAAGUUGUUGAAUUCAAAAAUAAAAAAAGGCAAAAACUCAAACUGGACCAAAUGUAUUUGGACACUAAAAGGCCAGGGCCCAAAUUAUAAUGGUACAAAAAAAUUCGAAAAAAAUAUAUUAGAAGUGGUUGUAAAUAGGCUAAGGCCCAAAAAGAAGCCCAAUAAAAAAAGCCCAAAAAAAUAAACCAGCCCAUGUGAUCAAUUAAAAUGGGUUGGCCUGAUUUCAACCAUGAUGUUUUGAUUUCGUCGUAAUUUUGCCACGUAGGACUGCCACGUAGGAUUGUGUUAGAUUGCCAACGAUGAUUUAGGAUCGUCGUAAAGGUUACGACAAUCCAGGAAUCGUCGUAAAAGUUACGACGAUUUUGAUCAAAACAUCGCUGUUGUUCAUUUCUGACGCUCCGUUUCCGACGCUUGGUUUUUCGUCGUGAGAUCGUCGUAAAUUAAAAACCGUGACGAUGUAGCGACGAAAAUAUAGCGUCGUNNNNNNNNNNNNNNNNNNNNNNNNNNNNNNNNNNNNNNNNNNNNNNNNNNNNNNNNNNNNNNNNNNNNNNNNNNNNNNNNNNNNNNNNNNNNNNNNNNNNNNNNNNNNNNNNNNNNNNNNNNNNNNNNNNNNNNNGUCGUGUAUUAGCAUAUUCCUUGUAGUGGGCAGGAUAGUCUGCCACACAUAUUCAAGUCACACCAGAAACUUCGAGGUUACAAUGUAGAGAAUGGUGGUGUGCUAGAGAAACUAACAUAUGAUUACAACAUCUUCUCAUGGCUCGAAAUUUUUCAUUCUCGAUUCGUCCCAUUCUCAACUUAACCUCUCAUUUCUUUCUUAAUUCUCUCAUCGUCGUCCCUAACAGUGGGUGAAGAACAUAAUUUGUCAUCGCGCUCAACCUUUGUGCUGACUCUAGAUAAGGAUGGAGUAUGCACCUGAUGGUUGGCCAUGUAUAUAUACUCCGACAUAUAUAAUACUAUUUAUUUGGCUGUGAUGGUGUGGUUGGUGAGAAUAUUUAUCUGGGAACAAUAUUGUAAGGUCUGCUCAUACAUACAAAGACUUAUAAAAUGGUGACCCUCUCUCCAAUGCUACACGUAAAGAGCAUGUGAUGUUAUUACUUUAAGCUAAACGGAGAAUUAUCUUAAUAGUUUCAAAAUCACGAGCUAACGCAUUUACUUUUUUCUUUGUUAACUCAUGCUUGUUUCUAAAGAAACAUUUAAACCAUUUUAGUCUAUUAUCUAGAUAAGAAAACUCCAGAUACAGUGAAAUUGGCGGAGCCGAUGACAUAUAUAUUUAAAAAAUCGAUCUCAUAGAUCUCACCUAAUGUAAAUAUGACCAACCAUUGUGUUGGCGAUCAUUGUGUUUCAACUAGCAUGUCUCGAGUUCGAUCUCUCAAGCAUGCAUUUUUCGUUCUGUUUUCUCUUUGUGCACUGACAGGCGGAACCCUAUCUCUGGUGGCUUUUCGGGGAAAAAAUAUUCAAGGCUAUAUUUUUUUGUAAAAUAAUAGGCCACGUGCUUGGCUGCAUCAUCUUGUCGCUCCCAAUGGGUUUGUGCCACACUGGUGCGGACUGCCAGCGUUGUUCUCGCGUGCAAACAUAAUUUGCACCGUAUAAGCAAGCCCAGACCAUGUUUUGACACCCGUUCAAUGUAUGCCAUAAGUUUAAGAACUAAAUUGAUUUUUGUAGCCAACUUUAAGCACCGGUGUUGUAAUUUACUCUUAUGAUAAGCAAUGAGUUGGUGCAUGGUCUUAUAAAAUUGAUCAACAUAUUCAGCGAUAGAACCCAGUUGUUCAAGAUAAGAAAAUCGGCAGAUCAAUCAUUGGUGUCGAUUGCAGCCAAUCUUGUGAACUACAAUUGCAGAAAACAUUGUCCAUGAGAUAUGACGAAGGCAAAAGUUGGCAGACUUGUGCGAGAACGUUGCAUUGACAUUGAAGUGCAUGGAUGCGAGACACCGGGAUCCAUGGGUGCACUUCAUACAUCUUGAAAUAAUUGGUGUAAUGAGUGUGCCAGAGUUUAUAGACGUGAAGUUUGUGUGUGCAUAUUCACCAAACAGAGGCGAGUGUGAUGACAAGGGGAAUCGCUCAAUGUUGGUCGGUGGAAAGAAAGGAGUCGGUAGGACCCCUUCACUCGACCACCACGGAUGCUGGUCCUCGCGGUAGCAUAACAGCCUGGUGGUCGAUGUCUAAACGGUCGCCACCCUUACUUGCUCGUGGAUCUUGCCAAGCUUGGGGCAACUGAUGGAGAGGGACAACCAACAGGUAGCAACACUUCAGGAUAUGGACGAUGUAUUCCUCCACGCCCGAAUUGGGCUUGAAGAUGUAGUCAGAUACAUCCAACAUGAGAACCAGGCUCUGAUCGGAUUACCACUUGUUAACAACACGGUAUGAUGUUCCUCUCAAACUUCCUCAAUGCAUAUUAACUUAAACAACCGACAAGAAUUUCUAAUGUUGUGGGCAGGAGAACACAAAGGCGAGAGGGUGUCCGCCGCGAUAGAAUUCCUAAUCAGCCUACGCUUCUCUACAACACUCGAUGGCUCGAUAUAAUGACGAGGCUCGGAUGCACUUAUGCCCAAUCUGCGUCUGCCAUUCUGCUGUUGGGGCUUCUGCUUCCAAUACUGCCUUGGUGCUACAUGCCUCCACCACACCGUCCUCACGCGCAGCGGGCCUGACACUCUUCCAGGCGCAACACGAGUCUUUAUCCAAUCAUGCAGGAAUUGCAAUAUACAUUUGUUUCACAUGUCUUCCCGGAUUUCAUAUUCAUGGAUGAAGCAAUGAGAUCAGCAGCUCAUCAAACGCUCUUUCUUAGUGUCCAAAAUAUGAUCCGAUUAUUUCUUACUUUCCCUAUGCCUCCUAGUCCUAUGUGUUUACCUUACCAUCCCAAUUUUUAUUUCAUCAUCUCUUAUGCUCAAACGUACUGCAACUUACGAUAUAAAGUGUGUGUAGAAGUGCAUGUAUGCAUGGGACCUUAUGGGAUUUUCAGCAUGCUCAUGUCAAGAUGGGNNNNNNNNNNNNNNNNNNNNNNNNNNNNNNNNNNNNNNNNNNNNNNNNNNNNNNNNNNNNNNNNNNNNNNNNNNNNNNNNNNNNNNNNNNNNNNNNNNNNNNNNNNNNNNNNNNNNNNNNNNNUGCUCAUGUCAAGAUGGGAUAGUUUAGUACUGAUGGUAUGACCUAAGACCUGCGACAUCAAUGCUUGUCAGCGACUUAAAACAUUUAUACUCUAAUUUGUGAAAUUAGAAGUGUUAGUGGUACUCUGGAAAGCUGUUAAUAAAGUAAUAGUACUUGGCUUUGCCCAAGAUUUUAAACCAUCAUUAAUGUUUACAAGGGGCCCAAGUAAAGUCUUUACCCCGUACAAAAAGAUAUGAUUUUAACUCUUUAUUUCGCUUUUCAUUAGUCAAUAUCUUUUCGGUUAUGCACAAGAGAAAUUAUCACAAAAUUAUUUUCAGUGAUCCUUGAAUAAUCCAUGGCUCAUAAAAGGACACUGAAUCAUAGUAAAGUUUUACUUCUGCACUUAUAUGGUAUGAAAAUACUCACCUACUUAUGUUUUUAUGGCUACAUAGUAAAUCACAAUGAGGAUCUCAGCUACUUGUGCUUCCAUGGCUGCCAGGUGCUUGGUUGCCAUUUAGUGAACAUGGGAUUGGUGAGGUAGUCCGGUCGAUGCAGCGUUGGAAGUUGGCUCUCAGUAACCAGUGUUCCUCUCAAUUGAUAUAAGAUGAUCGAGUCUACAGAGCUGCCGGGAAAAGAAGAAGAACAGAAGGGCAGCGGGUGGCCGAAACAAGACAAUUCCUAAUCAAUCCAUGCCUCGCCGAGUCCACUUGAUGGCUAGAUAUGUCACUAGGUAUAGCCAGACGCCCACUCUGGACCUGCCAUUCUUGUAUAGGGCCCUCUAAGUGUGGGUCCCACCUUGUCAGGCACCGUCUCCUUGUCGCCAUGGUUCUACAUACCUAUCUCUUGAUGCACACUGAUGCUGCCAUCCUUCCAGUUGCAACAUGAAUCUUUAUGCAAUCAUGCAUGCUAGCUCGCUCACUGUUUGAAGUUCUCAGAUGAAUCAACUAGAACAAUAGCAUCACAUCUGCUGUUUCCCGGCCUUGAANGAUGUUGUCCAAUUCAUUAAGGGCAAUAAAAUUGGACCCUUUCUAAGCCUUUUAAAAUUAGACCAUCGGAUCGCACGUCUCAGUCACCAUGUAAGGCAGUUUUUCUUAGGCAUGGGCUGAUACUGGGCCGGUUCCGUUUGUCCUUGGGCAGAUAUUCCUAUAGCCAAAUCCAAAGCCCAUCACGUUUCACUUGUUCAUCAUUUGAAGUUCACGGAUGAAUCAACAAGAACAACAACAUCAAGUCCCCUGUUUCCCGGCCUUGAANNNNNNNNNNNNNNNNNNNNNNNNNNNNNNNNNNNNNNNNNNNNNNNNNNNNNNNNNNNNNNNNNNNNNNNNNNNNNNNNNNNNNNNNNNNNNNNNNNNNNNNNNNNNNNNNNNNNNNNNNNNNNNNNNNNNNNNNNNNNNNNNNNNNNNNNNNNNNNNNNNNNNNNNNNNAUGCCUCCUAGUCAUAUGUGUUUGCCAUACCCGUAUGUAUAUAUGCGUGCGGCAUGCUUGGCUUUUUCUUGUAUGCUCGUGUCAAGAUGGGAUAGUAUAUAUAGGAGAGACGCAGUGGUGAUGCCACAUCAAUGCUUUUUAUCACAUUAAACAUCCAUACCGAAAUGUAUCUAUGUGUAGAGCCAUAUACAUGCUAAAACAACCAGACCAAAGUCAACCACGGUGGCUUUUUAUCACAUUAAACAUAGUAAAACAAAAGUACGGAUCAAGGUAGAGGAAUAUGCUAGAAAAUCCCACAAUAAUAAGAAUAUUUCUGUUGGAAAUUUUCAUUCAGGCGAGCAGUUAUUUCAAUAUAGAAAAAAAAUGUUUUCAAUAGAUGUUGUCGAAUUCAUAGAUUGCAUGAUUGACUUCUGGGUUAACUAAUUGUGCUACUGAACAAUUAGGAGAAACAGAAAGAGAGUGUGGCCGGCCGUGCCGUGGUUAGCUACCUAACGUGCUGAUGCUCGGGUCCUGCUCCUUUUCAGGAUGCCGCUCUCAGCGAUGGCAACGGCAGCGACUACGUACACCACCAACAACAGCUACCAGCCCGCCACUAUCCCCACUAAUUAACGCCUCAUCCUACCCUCAGCAAUUUGCCGCCAACAGCUCUGGGCUCUGGCCAAGCACCCGAUGUUGUGCCCGCACUUGCGCUCUGCCGUGGCGACAUCGCUAAUAACACGACAUGUAAGGAUUGUGUUGGCGCCUCCUUCCGGCACGCUCAGCAGACGUGUCACAAUAAUGAGGCUGCCACUGUCUACAACAACUAUGGUGCCAUAAGGCUGGUCAUAGUGGGAGUAACUAAGGUAGUAUCAUGUACUUGGGACUAGCAAACAUGUUGAUUUGACAGACAAUUAAAGAAGAAAGAUAGAGUUAGAGUAACAUAGGUAGAUACUGUAACAUGUUAAAUACUAUGCUACUAUGUGUUAUGCAUGUUAAUAAAUAAGGUCAUCUAUGAUACUACUUUAUGAUAUUAUGCACUAUGAACGUAGUAUCAUACAAUAGUAUCAUAUGCAUGACACUACUAUAUGAUACUCCCCAUUAUGAUGAGACUAAACAACUAGCGAUCGGUCUACGAGAAUGGUACACUCUUCGAGGCUUGGAAUCCGGGAAACAUCUCCUACCAUCACCGCCGCAGACAUCCACAACCCGCUGAAUGUGACUGCCCAGGACGUGGCCACCAACAGCGCGAGACGGUACUCCCUAGCACAUGUAGUACAACUAUCGGUUUUCCCAUUCAACAGACAAAUUCGAGUAUGGAUGUGGUGCAGCUAUUACUGUGAAGAAUGUAUCCUCCUCUUUUUAUGUGGUUUUCAUACAAUGGGAUUAAAAAAAUAUGCUUCUUAUGAAUACGCGGGGUUCGUAUGCCCCCUCAAUAAGUGUCAACUAUCAAACCUUGAAAGUUUCGCGAGUUUCCAAAAGAACGUACUAACAAAUCCCUAACUCAUCUUAAUGCUAUUUGCUCUCAUAAGUUAAUUCCCCCCCUUCCACUUAUAAAUUAGAAGACUGUAUUGGCUACAUUGUUGGAUGGAUUUAUUAGUAUGGUUAGUGCACCAUGAUGAAUCUUAAUGCUGGAUAGCAUAUAUGUCAAUGAAUGUUGCCUUAUGACCAACUUCUCAAAUGCAGACGACCGAUUUGUUAGUUUUGUCCACGGCACUCGGCAAAGUGUUUUUUUGCCGAGUUUUACAUUUUUCUGUAGUUAAGUACUUGGCAAAUAUACUAUUGCCGAGUGUUCGAAAUAAUGCACACGAUAAAACAACCUAACACUCGGCAAAGAGGAAAGUUCUAGUAGUGGCACGUCACAGUGGAUUUCUGCAAUCAACUCCUCUCGUCACCAACCUUGACCAGGAGCUCGACGGAGAGGUGAGCCGUCCAACCUGGCCCUCUGUGAGCCGCUGGUCCUCGAUGACCAGAUCGACCAGAGCGCUAGUACAACAAGCUUAACUAAGCCAAGUCCCCAGCUGCAUCGGCUCUGCUCCAGUCUUCCCGUUGUCUCCCAUUCUCAAUCUUUAUGUCUCUCUCUUUUUUCUGUCUUGCAUCGUUGUUGUUGGUGCAUGCAAAUACUCGUUAUGAGGUACAAUUCAAGGACUUGUGAUGUUUGAAGAGAACGACUCGUCCCAUGAUCAUGUACGGCAUAUGCCAUGAACUCGACUAGUACGCAAUGCAUUUUUCUAGGUGGGACACAGAAUAUACAUCUCAUGCAUGCGGCAUGCUCGGCUUUUUCUUGUAUGCUCAUGUCAAGAUGGGUUAGUAUAUAUAGGAGAGAGGCAGUGUGAUGCCACAUCAAUGCUUUUUAUAGCAUUAAACAUCCAUACCGAAAUCUAUCUAUGUGUAGAGCAAUAUGCAUGCUAAAACAUCCAUACCGAAGUCAACCACAGUGGCUUUUUAUCACAUUAAACAUACUAAAACAAAAAUACGGACUAAGAUAGACGAAUAUGCUAGAAAAUCUCACAAUAAUAAGAAUAUGUCUGUUGGAAAUUUUCAUUCUGGCGAGCAGCUAUUUCAUUAUAGAAAAAAAUGUUUUCAAUAGAUGUUGUCCAAUUCAUUGAUUGCAUAAUUGACUUCUGUAUCAGCGGCGUUAAAGUAGAGUAUGUUAGCUACUCUGCCUCCGUUAGAUAGGUUAGAUCGAGUUUUCCUUGUUUUCAGUAAAUAAUGCAGUAGACGCUCGAGCCCACAGCCCUUCGUGUGUGUGCGUUGAGAAGGUAGGAGGCAGGUGCGAUCGCCAGGUCGUGCGCGCCGUAUCAGCUAGGGUGGUUAAGCCACGACGCCAGCUCGUGGGAUGGCGCGAGUCUUCGGAUCGUGGCACCGGAAUAGGAGUAGUAGCCGGGCCAUCGACAUCUCUUGUACUGAAUAAAUAGCAGAGAAAAACGAGAAAAGCUACACUUAUUCGUAGCGUAAAACCCCUUGUCUACCUUCGUCUACCCUGUCUACCCCUCGAUCGACCGAUUUCCGGCGCUAGCAGCGCUAACAAUUGCUAUCAGAGCCCGUUUGCGAUCCCGGCGACGAUGGCAGGUAAUGAGGCGUUACUGUCUGCUGGUACAAGGGAAUCAGGGCUUCUAUCCAACACGUAGUACAACUAUGGGUUUUCCCAUUGAACAGACAAAUUCGACUAUGGAUGUGGUGCAGCUAUUACCGUGAAGAAUGUAUCCUCCUCUUUUUUAUGUGGUUUUCAUGCAAUGGGAUUAAAAAAAAAAUGCUUCUUAUGAAUAUGCGGGGUUCGUAUGCCCCCUUAAUAAGUGUCAACUAUCAAACCAUGAAAGUUUCGCGAGUUUCCAAAAGAACGUACUAACAAAUCCCUAACUCAUCUUAAUGCUAUUUGCUCUCAUAAGUUAAUUCCCUCCUUACACUUUUAAAUUAGAAGAUUGUAUUGGCUACAUUGUUGGAUGGAUUUAUUAGUAUGGUUAGUGCACCAUGAUGAAUCUUAAUUCUGGAUAGCAUAUAUGUCAAUGAAUGUUGCCUUAUGACCAACUUCUCAAACGCAGACGACCGAUUUAUUAGUUUUGUCCACAACACUCGACAAAGUGUUUGUUUGCGGAGUUUCAUGUUUUUACCGAGUUAAGUACUUGCAAAAAUACUAUUGCCUAUUGUUAAUGCGCACAAUAAAGAACCUCACACUCGGCAAAGAGGAAAAUUCUAGUGGUGACACGUCAGAGUGGAUUUCUACAAUCAACUCCUCUCAUCACCAACCUUGACCAGGACCUCGACGGAGAGGUGAGCCGUCCAACCUGGCCCUCUGUGAGCCGCUGGUCCUCGAUGACCAGAUCGACCAGAGCGCUAGUACAACAAGCUUAACCAAGGCAAGUCCCCAGCUGCAUCGGCUCUGCUCCAGUCUUCCCGUUGUCUCCCAUUCUCAAUCUUUAUGUCUCUUUCUUUUUUCUGUCUUGCAUCAUUGUCGUUGGUGCAUGCAAAUACUCGUUAUGUGGUACAAUUCUAGGACUUGUGAUGUUUGAAGAGAACGACUCGUCCGAUGAUCAUGCACCGCAUACGCCAUGAACUUGACUAGUUUUUUGCCCCCGAGUGGCAUAUAUUUGAUAGGAGAAGAAAGUAGUGUCCCGAGUGUUAGAUAAUGACUUCUGAUACUUGUGUGAGCACGGAGCAGUAGUCGUUAUAUAUGCUCAGCCACAAAUGUGUAUGGUGGUGGGCCUGAGUACUGCUAGCCUGCUACGCAUUGGCUUCAUGCUGUGACCUGGUAUCAGGUUUAUUGCAGGGUAUGGCCUUUAAUUUGCUGGUUGAGUAGACAAUGCAUUUUUCUAGGUGGGACACAGAAUAUACAUCUCAUGUAUGUGACAUUAGCUCUUUAUGUGAAGGAAUUAUGCAUGUUGAAUUUUCAGUAUUUUUCUAUUCACUGCAGUAUCUGUUGUCGUUGUAGGUAGAGGAGCCAUUUUUUUUAGAAAGGAAAUAUGACCCCGGCCUCUACAUAUGGAAGAUGCAUGCAACCACUUUAUUAAUUAUUCAUAAAGAUCUUACAAAGCAGUACACCACUUUAUUAAUUAAUCAUCAAGAUCUUACAAAGCAGUACAUCAAUAUGUCUAAAGUCACCCUCUUGACAACAUCUGUCGCUACUUCUAUCCAAUAAUGAAGGUGUGCAGAAAGUGUGAGUCACAUACCCUGACCUUUCACCUAGCCUAACAUCUAAAACCGGAGGCCCCGACCGAGCCACAUACCGGGUCAAGGGCACAAACCGGUCCGACGCACCUUCAUAGGUCAUCGCUGCCGCCUUCCGUCAAUCCAUCUUCAUGAAUCGACCUUGCAAGGCCUGCCGUUGAUGCCCCCACGGCACCAGACAGCGCCUCCUCCCUACGCGUGCUCAUCAUCACGCAUCUGUCGUCGAGACUUUGCUGCACCUCGCCGCCGAGAGUCCACGACGUCGAUGUGUCACAGGGAACACCGCUCCACCGUAGAUGCCGACCAAAGGUCCCUCGAGCCCGUGUGUACCUCCAUGAAUGACGCCCCCAAGGGGGAAACGACACCAGAGCGUCGCCGUCAUCCGAUCUACUGAUCUAGGAUUUCCCUCGGAGGUAGCAGAGAGUAACUUUGAACUUCUCCUAGGCGAUGCCCUCAGGAAGGGAACGACGUAGACAGCGCUGCCAUCGCCGGCCUUGGCAGUAGCCGAAAGCAAGCUUUCAGCCAAAUCUGUUCGAAGAACCCACCUCUCCUGCACGGGCCACCACAUCCUGCGACGUCCCCGGGUGGAGACGCCACAAGGACCCACCACCUAGCCAUCAUCCCUGACGAAGGGGAUGGCGCCACCAACUUGUUCAGAUCCAGCAGCACGCCAACGCCUCCUACCGCCCCCAAUCACAUCUAUGAAGGAGUGCAGUCAACGCGCGUGCCCACCACCGCUUAGGGCCGCCGGGCGGCGCCCCAGCUCGCCACCCGGAGGAGAAUCGAUCUGGGGUGGGGAACCCCAGAUCCGUCGCUGCCAGCCCCCGCAGCGCCGUCGGGAUCCCAUCGGGCCGCCGUCCAAGCGUGCCAACUCCGCCUCCAUGCCGUACGCCCAGGGGCACCGUCGCAUCUCAGCCAGAGGACCCCCUUGUGAAGAAGGGAGGAAGGCCCACCGUCAGCUGCCGUCUGCCGGGCGAGCCCUCGAGCCCGUGUGUACCUCCAUGAAUGACACCCUCAAGGGGGAAACGACACCAGAGCGUCGCCGUCAUCCGAUCUACUGAUCUAGGAUUUCCCCCGGAGGUAGCAGAGAGUGGCUUUGAACUUCUCCUCGACGAUGCCUUCAGGACGGGAACGACGUAGACAGCGCCGCCAUCGCCGACCUUGGCAGUAGCCGAAAGCAAGCUUUCAGCCAAAUCUGUUCGAAGAACCCAUCUCUCCUGCACGGGCCACCACAUCCUGCGAUGUCCCCGGGUGGCGACGCCACAAGGACCCACCACCUGGCCGUCAUCCCUGACGAAGGGGAUGGCGCCACCAAAUUGUUCAGAUCCAGCAGCACGCCAAGGCCUCCUAUCGCCCCCCAAUCACAUCUGUGAAGGAGUGCAGUCAACGCGCGCGCCCACCACCGCUUAGGGACGCCGGACGGCGCCCCAGCCCGCCACCCGGAGGAGAAUCGAUCUGGGGUGGGGAACCCAGAUCCGCCACCGCCGGGAUCCCAUCGGGCCGCCGUCAAAGCGUGCCAACUCCGCCUCCAUGCCGUACGUCCAGGGGCAUCGUCGCAUCUCAGCCAGAGGAUCCCCUUGUGAAAAAGGGAGGAAGGCCCGCCGUCAGCUGUCUGCCGGGCGAGCUUCGCUCGCCGGCCUCCUCCGGCGGUGAUGGGAAAGCAGGGGAGGAGUUAGGUCAAGGGCGGUGGCGGCUAGGGCACGACGCGAGCGAAUCGUUUUUCCUGGGACCGAUCAGGUAGAGGAGCCACGCUGUGGUUUUAUUUCUCUUCAACUAGUUUCAGUAGUUGCAAUAGCAUGUUCUUUAGUUCAGUAGGAGUGAACUUCGGGGCUGAAUGAAACACGGUAUUCAGGUAACUACAAACUAAGUGCAUGUCUCAUAAAUAUUUGGACUGUUAGACUUGUCCCUCGAAGUACUGAUUUGACACAAGCACAAGGCCCGCCCAAAAUCCCUGCAUAUCUCGCAUAUCCAGUUUUUAUGGUAUCAGCUGCCCUGCUUGAGGUUAUCCAUUUUGUGAUUCUGACACGAUUUCCCUGAAAGGAACUACAUGUAUGGUUGCAUGCCAGUAAUUCUGUACAGGAACGGAUGUGUCUUCCCUCAGGGUGGGCACGGUCCGAGCCGGUCCGGUCCCUGUCCGAACCGGCGUUUGGACCGGCCGGCGGCGGUCCGGUCCGGACCAGACCGAGCAGCGUCGCGGUCCUGUUUUCAGGGACCGGACCGAUAAUGACCGAGCUCAGGCCGGACCAAGAGGAUCGUUAGGACCCGCGAAAACAUGGGCGAGGCAUGCUCUAGAACUCCGGCGAGUCGGGGACGGCUCAUCGAAGAUAUCUUGCUAGAGGAAGAGCAGUUCAUCGAAAAGAUGUCUGGGAGCUUGAGAAGAAUCAGAGGAAGCUACAUGACCGAGAAGAACAACAGAGGGAGCUCAUUGGCUACGAAUCUAGCACGACGGCCGGUGGAUGGAGAUGAGGUAUGAUGGCUGAUGAGGCGAUGUAGGGUCUUCCUCGUCGAUUUUAUUGGCGGAGCUGAUAGAUCCAAGUAGAGCAGGUGUAGUGAACAUGAUUUCUAGGGCCAGAGAGACCGUUGGCCACACGGAGCCGCUGACGAGGGCCACCGUGGCGGCGACCACCACGACGUUGAGCACCCCUGCCACGCCCUCUCCACACACUUGACACACCACAACCACGCCUUCGGCAAGCCCCCGACACGCUCCCGCCAUGCCCCCACCCCUCCCCGGUUAUGCCGCCGGCAUGCCCUCGCCAUGCACCCACCAUGCCACCGGAGUUUCGCUCAGCCUGUAUGGUCGGGCCGAGCUUUAACCGGGCCGGACCGGGGUAUUUUUGGUCCUGUUUUCAGGGCCCAGACUGGCCGAUUUUUUUACCGAGCCAGGACCAAGUCGGCCCGUACCGAGCGAGCAACGAGCCUGUCCGAAAGACCACUCGUCUCGUCCAUCCCGUGUCUUCCCUGAUGCUUCAAACUACUAAAUCUUCCCCCCUUGUUACUAUAUGCAUGAAUAACCGCAUAAAAUUUUCUCUAUGUUAUAGGUAUUAAGUUCUCUUUGUAUCUGUUACCAAACCACCAUCUGUAUGCACAUUCACAUUUGUCAAUUUGGGUCUUACUUUCGCUUCAAAUUAUGUAUGUGGAGUAAAUCAUAGUUUCUCCCGAAUAUACUAUUGUGGGAUACACCCGUUCAUAGGGUAUGUGACAAAUAGUUGAAAAUUGCAUUAAAUUUACAUUAAUUUAUUGUUCCAUUUUAUUUAUUUGAAAUAUCGAUAAUCAUUACAUAUUUCAUUAAUUCAAAAACAGGAGGAGUUUCUCUAAAUAAAUGCAUAUAUAGCGGAAUGUGUGUUUUAAUGUCUGACCUCUUCACAACAUCUAAUAAAUCGGAGCAUAUUCGAGUUGUAGUGUGUGCAUUUUUUUGGACUAUUUCGAAUUGUCGGAAUGAAGUUAUUUUUAGCUGAAAGAACAUCAUAAUUAUUCCCCAGAUCCCCUUCCAGGCGUCUGGAUUGAUACAUAUGUGGUGGUUACUCAUCCGUAUGAAAGUCAGGGAGCAUACAACCUAUGGGUGCAACCAUUGGGAGAUAAUAGCAUGGAAUACAUACAAUUGGUUUGGAUGACAGUUCAAUAGUUAAUAUGACAGGUGUUUAGUCAUCUGCUCCUAUUUUCGGGAAUUGUGGCCUUUUAUUCUAUUCGCUUGAGGUUUCUUACAAACAUGUGCUGAACUGUGUACUUUGAUGCAAUUUUGGUUAAUAAAAUGUCUGUGUACAUCACUUGAUCCAUAUAGGCAUGGGAUAAUUCUUCUUUUCAUAAGGAAAAGAAUAGCUAAACCAGUAAACAGAAGUUCUGACAAUCAAGGUGAUGUGUAUGGAUAAGUAGGUGGAGACCGCCAUACUAUAUGUUGGCACAAAUGGUCGUCUUCGCAAGUGUAAAUGUACAUGGUAGCAAACGUGGCCAGUGUGGUAGCAGGUGCGUUUGGGCUUUCCAUGCCGAUGUCAGUCAGCUCGCUAGCCAGGGUGAGCUGUGCUCAAACCAAUUUUCCUAGAUGGGCAAACCCAGACUUGUUCGGCCCGUAAUUGUACAAGUUGAAACAAGCCAAGCCUCCAUCUGUAUCGGCUCAGCUCAUUUCUGCUCCUAAUUCCUGUCUUCCCGAUGUCUCCCAUUCUCAAUCUAUACUACUAUCUCUUUUUCUAUCUUGCACUGUUAGUGUUGUUGCUGGUGCAUGCGAAAUAUUCAUUUUGAGGUAACACUAGAGGACUCGUGAAGUUUGAACAUAGCCACACGACAGAUGGUCAUGUACGGGAUAACCCAUGAACACGUCUAGUAUAUUUUUUCCUGUGUGGCAUACAUUUUAUAGGAGAAGAAAAUAGUGUAUUGAGCUUCAGGUAGUGACUUCUGUUGCUUGCUUGAGCUCCGAGUAGUAGUCUAUAUAUGUGACCAGCCAGAACAUGCGCAUGGUAGUGGGCAUAUGUCCUUCUAGUCUGCCUACACAUUAGCUUCGUGUCGUGACCUGGUAUCACGUUUAUUGCAGGGCAUCGACUUUAGUUCGACAGUUGAAUAUGCAAUGCCCUUUUCUUGUAGGAACCGAGAAUAUACGUGUCAUGUACGUGAAAAUUAUUUGUUGCUUUAUGUGAAGGAAUUACGCAAAAAAGAAAAGAGUUUCAAUAUUUUUACAUUCAUUGAAAUAUCUUUCUAUUCGGAGGAGCCAUGCUGUUGUUUUGUUUCUUGUCAAAAAAAAUCAAUAGUUAUAAUGGCAUGUUUUGUAGUUCAAUAGGAGUGAACUUCAGGCCUGAAUCACACACGGUAUUCAGGUAAAUACAAACUCAUAAAUAUUAGGACAUAAAAGCCGAAUAUUCGUUUUAGAUGACAAUGAGAGGUCAUUAAAAACGGAGGCUGAACUAAAGCUAAAACAACUACUCGGAGAGGAGGAGUUGAAGUGGGCACUGAGGCAAAAGUUCGCCAAGUUGUGCAAGGUGAUGACAAUACAUUGUACUUCCAUUUGAUAGCUAAUGGGAAACAUAGAAAGAAAAAGAUACAUCAACUCGAGCAAGAUGAGGGUACAAUUCUUGGACACGCGAAUCUGAAAUUGUAUAUAUCUGAAUACUACAAAAAACUCUUCGGGGCUCCUGAAGACAAUUUUGUAUCCAUGAAUGAACAAAUGGCCGGUGACAUACCUCAGCUCGGGACGGACGAGAAUGAGUUAUUAAUCGCACCUUUUACGGAUAAAGAGGUGUUUGAAGCCAUAUCACAAAUGAAAAAUAAUAAGGCAGCAGGCCUAGAUGGAUUUCCGGCUGACUUUUACAAAAAGUGUUGGCAAGUUAUCAAAGGUGACUUGCUACCUAUGUUCCAAGACUUAUUUGACGGAAACUUACAGUUGUUUCACCUAAAUUUCGGAACAGUGACACAGUUGCCAAAGAAGGAGGGUGCAGUACAUAUAGAACAAUUUAGAAUUAUUUGCCUUCUGAAUGUCUAUUUCAAAAUCUUUACAAAGAUAGGAACGAAUAGGUUGGCUCAGAUUGCACAUGAGGUAGUGUAACCUAGUCCGACGGCUUUCAUGUCGGGCAGGAACAUACUAGAGGGUGUGGUGGUCCUGCAUGAAACGCUACAUGAAAUUCACUCGAAGAAACUAGAUGGGUUUAUCUUCAAGGUGUAUUUCAGGAAGGCAUAUGAUAAGGUCAAAUGCCUAUUCCUACAACAGACAUUACGUAUGAAGGGGUUCGUCAAAAUAUGGAGGAAGCAUGUUGAAUAAUUCGUACAAAAAGAGAGUGUUGGAAUCAAAGUCAAUGAUGACAUUGGUCAUUUUUUCCAUACUUUCAAGGGUGUCAGACAGGGAGAUCCAAUGUCAUCCAUCCUAUUUAACAUAGUUGCAGACAUGUUGGCAAUUCUUAUAGGAAGGGCUAAACUAGGAGGCCAGGUAGGUGGACUGGUGCUGCAUCUGGUGGAUGGUGGCAUGUCUAUCCUCCAAUAUGCUGAUGAUACUAUACUAUUUAUGGAACAUGAUGUAGCAAAAGCCAGAAACAUGGUAGGCCUGGCUCUCAGUAGUCCAGCAUCGAUCAAGGGUCACAAGGCAGAGAAAGAACUUCAUGUUCACGGCCGCCCAGGAUUUCCACACGAGACACCGGUAGGAUAUUCAUAUAGAUCCAUGAUAAACAUAUUAGAAGACACGACUAAUAAUGGGCCAAAGCAUGUAUCCGAGAGAGAUUUACGUAUAAUGCCAAUCAAAGGGGAUGCGGCAUCUAAUGUAUAGGGUUGUAUAUGCCCCGGCUGCCAAUUAUGGCAGUUGCAUGUAUCUUUAGGCCUCAUGUCAGCAAACUAGCUACACGAUACAAUCUAGACACACCUGUCAGCUAGUACCACGUCGAGGUUGCGUACUUAGUCUUCAUUCCACUCUUCAGUUUAUGUUUAUAUAUUUUGUUGAUGGCUAGACUGGAGAAAAUUCGUUUUAGCACAUUUUCAAGAGAUAGUGUUUAACAUUAGAUCAACACUCCAGCUAGUACAGCAUACACACUUCAUUCCAAGUGUUUGAUUCCUGAUGUCUCAUAAACUCAAAAUUACUCAUUGUUACUUCCUUGCACUUUUUUAUCAAAGAUUUGGUAUAGGAGAAAAAGUAACUAAAAUAAGUCAUGAACUAAAUGACAUAACCCUAUCGAUCCGUGGUGCUAUAUAUGGGCAGUGAACAACACAUGGUGUGGUAACUGAGAAAAGUUAUCUCGUGUGAAUCACAUGGACGCUCUAGGAGAGAGAAUAAAUCUAAAAUGGGAGAGAUUCAUUUCGUGGGAACCACAUCCCUCUUUUUGUCUUCCCACGUGUUAUGGCCUGCAGCAGCAACCCUCCCCAAGCAUUGCAAUCGGCACCCGCAUUAUCCACACGGAGCUCUUUCGAUUUUAAACUUCCCAUAGUUAUCUGAUCGACAGAAGAAUUGAUAUCUUUUUGACAUAAAGCCAUGCUAGUUUGAUUUUCCUUCUGCCAAAAAGUAUUACACACAGAAAAUUCAACCAUUGUUAAUGCGGUGGUACCUUGGUUCAUGAUAGGAUGCAGCAUUGACAGUACCCCCAGCAACGGGCACGUUUGUAUCUCAUCCCAGCAAGAAAAAUAAUAGCGCCGCGUCGAGUGCUUCCACCGACUAGCAAAUUGAGAGACGGUGUACCUUUUUUGUUCAUUUUUUCGUUUGUGUUUCCUCCUUUGUUGUUGUUAUUUAUAUAUCAAAAUAUUGUUCACACAGAUGUUGAUCACGCUUUGAAAGAUGUUCACACGUUGAAAUACUGUUGAUCACGCUUAGAAAAAUGUUCACACAUUUAAAUCAUGUUCAUCAUAUAUUAGAAAAAUGUCCGUGAGACAUAAACCAUUUUUCUACAUAAGUUUAAAAAAUUAUUAUGACACUCAAAGAAAUUACCAAUGUAUGCUUCGCAAUAAGCAAGACAUAGCAUUUUUCAGCCAGGAACGUGACUGGCGACGUCUUCCCACAGAUAGGGGUAACCAAGCCAAUUUUCGAGGUCGACAGUUACAUCUUGGUUAGCUAUGCUUUAUGGUGGUUGCUGCUCGGGCCUCUAGUUAUCUACAAUAGAUGAAUGUUCUCGAGAUGGGCGUGUCACACGAGGCCUCUAGCAUGUCAGAUGAGCACCGGCGUGAGUUCAUGAGUUGGGAGGUGAAUGGGUGCACGGCUGCUGUGUGCUGCCGUACGUGGUUUCGUGGCGGCGCCUACGUCGAGGUUGGAAAUACUGGGCAGCGAUGGCCUCUACCGUGAUGAGCUGCCAUGCAUGCCGGUGACGAGUAACUGACUGUCCCAUGAUAGUCUGAUGUGGCAUUUGACAACGAGGUGCUCGCGGCGGAGCACAACAUUUCCCGGUUAGACUGAGGCUCUCCCCCGCUCGUCUUUUCCGACUCCUCAGGGCUGUCCAGUUAUAAAAGAACGAAAAUCACAGAUGGAAAAACACCACUAGGAUCUGUUACUUGAACUUGCCGAAGUUACAAAGAGGUGAAAUCAGAGCAGAGUCCUUGAUAGUUAUGGUACGUGUUGUAGAGGCGUCUGUACGGCAAAGGCCCACACGUCUUAUUGUUCUCUAUGCUACACAGGUAUGAAUCCUUCUGGAGGCAGAUGAGAAACUUUGCUUCGCGGAACAAUCACAGUGUCCAUUACUAGGAGCUGUUUUCACACUAGACGGUAUUAUCCUGAUGUCUUCUAUUCUUAAGCUAGGAUUCUCUUCCUGGUCUUAUCCUGCUGCAGGCAGAUAAGAACUUUUGCCUCGCAGUCUUAUCAUUUUUCUUGCAUUAUUCAGCCUAACAAAUGGCGGAGAAGAGAAACAUACGCAAGUGAUUUGUGAAAUGUGUAUAUAGCUUCACAUGCUACUAGUGGUAUAUAUAUUGUAAACAAUACACAUCUUGGUAGAUGUAAAUAUUUAUUUUGAAAACACUUCAAAUAUACAAGCAUUCUAUAUAAUUUGUGUCUCCCAUACUGACAGUGUAGAAAGUUAGACUCCACACGCUCAAAUGAUUAGACUAUAGUAGCGGCAACAAGAGAGACUGUGUUCAAAACAUGAUCUCUGAAAAGUAUUUUAUAAAGCACAUUAAACUAGUAAUUAAGGAUCCAUAUUUCAUUUAAUAGUGCAGAUAGGUGCUAUUAAGACACAUCUAUGGCACACCCUAGCAUAUGUGCGAUGAAGGCCAGCACACUACACACUUGGUAGAAAAAUAAAGCCGUGUGCCUGAAAGUGAAACGUGUGUGAUGGCAAACACAUCGCGCAGGAUUGGGAAUGAAAAACUGUGUGCCAUUCUUUGCACAUAAUUCUUCUCAAAGAACCGUGAGCAAUUAACUGAAAUGUUGCACACGUAUUGGCAAAAUGGAUUGUAUGUUCUGCAUAGCACACAGUUGUGCUGGAAAAAAUGUAUUUGAUUUUGUGAACUACCCCACACAUAACUUUUUGGUUCAUCAUGUGCGCGUUAGUACAGAUCCUUAAUUUUGACUAAUCAUGUGAGACAUUGGAUAUAUAUUUACUGUAGCAAGCAGUUGCACAUAAGAAGUCGUGUGUGAUAACGGUCACAUGAUUUCAAUAAACAAAAUUAUUCCCUGCUGCAUGUUGGCCUCCACAUGUAAUAGCCGCGCGAAAUAUUUAAAAUAUAAAAACAGUAAACUAAAAAGUAAUAAGGUUCGUUGAUUACGAAUUGAAGAAAAUAUUUAUAAUUUAUAAUAUGAUAUAAAAUCAAUCAUCUAUGACUCUGCAUGCAUGCCAUCGUUAUGGCCGCAGCGGUGCGACACCACAAGGUCAUCAAAAUCGAGGCCCGCGACCAGCUGACCGGAGACUGAGCUACAAUUUUGUCGCGCUCGUUGCCGUUGAUGAAAACAAGUGACCUAUGAAUCUUGGUGGCUUCUAGUGUUCAUGAGUAUGCUGUAAUAACACAUGGAGGAAUGGGGUGCUGGACAUCAAUACGUGCAGCGGGCAUGGCGGCUAGCGGUGCUCAGGCUGGUGGGGAUGGCAGUUAGCGGAAUAAAUCGACAGGAUUAAAUACAAGGGGCGAGAAAGAGCUCAUCGCGGUCUUACCGGGAUGGUGACAACCUCGGGGAAGCUCGGAUGACAGUGAAUCAAGGACUAUAGUUGGCGGGCAGAGGUAGCACAUAUGGCGCUGAUGGUGGCGUUGUACCCUCAAAAUGGGCUUAGAACUUAGGAAAACUACUUCUUUGUGCAAUUUUACCUUGAAAUUUGAAGGGGGAUGUCUGUAUGGUCUUCAUGUCGUAAGCGACCCAGCGAUAAGCGGCUACGAUAGCAUGUCAGGCUCACACAAGAGAAGAAACAAUGGAAAAAGAGCAAGGACAAAUCAUCCUAGAGAGGGAAUUAAUGGAGACUGUAACCGUGAAUGUAAACGAGCUCUAAUAGAGCCGGUUCCAAAGGCGUUGGAAAGAUCUACGGAAAUUAGGAUACAAAGAGUUCUAAUUCUAGAGAUUGGGAUGAUUUUACACACACGCACACACCCGUGAAAACGUGCGGAAAGUCUGAGCCCGAGAAAAGGCUGUUUAUGUUAGAUUGAUCUCUCAUCACGUGGGCCCAACGGCCCAACGGGCCUUGAUCUAUGCGCCCUGAUCGGGGGCGCCCAACCGAUUAUGGUUGGUGGGUCCCUGUGACCCGCGCUAUAUAAAGGAUGGUGGGAUGCCGGCGCACGAACUACGAGAUUCGUCGCAGUCACACCCCUACCGACAUACCUAUCCGAUCUAGGUUAAGCGCGGUGCUCACGGGAAGCUCCAGCUACGCCUAACCCUUCUUCUCCAUCACCGCCGUCGCUACAACACCGAUGAAGACCGGUGCGAGCUCAUCCGGCUCAGGACAAGGUAAAUACACGGGUUUGUACCGGAUCUAUCUAUGCCUAGUAGAUCCACGGCAUCAACAGUUUAGACUCUCAAAAAGGGCUCAAAAAGUGUGGAAAACUAUUUGUUUGUGCAAUUUCACCUCAAAAUUUGGAGGGGCACUACGUCUGUAAGGUCUUUAGGUAAGAAGAACCCCACCGACGAGCGUCUAUGAUAAGAUGUUACAAUCACAUUACAGAAGAAAAGAAAGAAAAAUACAAUAAAAUGAUCGGCCUUGAGAGCGAAUUGCUGGAGACUGUGAACGCGAAUGUGGACGAGCUCUUGAGCCAGUUUGAAAGGUGUUGGAAAGAUCGCGUGAGACUAGGAUACAAGGACAUUAAUUAUCGCGAUCUAGAUGAUUUUAGACACACGAAAAUACCCCCGGGACACAUGCGGAAUGACUCGAACCGAGGAAAUACUAUUUAAACACUCGAAAAGGUCUCAGAAGAUUGGAAAACUAUUUACUUGUAUAAUUUCUCCUCAAAAUUUGAAGGGGCAAGACAUAUAUGUAUGUUCUUUAGGUCGGAAGUGCCCCACCAAUGAGCGGCUACGAUAGGAUGUUAGACCCACGCAAUAAAAGAAAUGGUGGAAAAUAGAAUACAAUAAUAUCCUAUGAAUGUAACGGGUUUCCAGUUUUCCCACGGGACCAAUGUUUGUUGUGGCGGGAGCACAUGUCACAAUUAUUUGGGUUCCCAUGGCCGGGAGCACCGUUCACCCGCUAGUGUUAUUUUUCACACCGAAAGCCCUCCUUUAACCGCGCUCCUACCAGCAACCGCCGUCGGCCCGAUGCUAUGGCCUCCCUUUCCCUCGAUCUUGUACCCGCCGCCACCCCAAUUCUAUCUUCUCCCUCUCCCUGGAUCCCGUAGCCGCCGCCUCCCCGAUUCUAUCAUCUCCCUCUCCCUCGAUCCCCGUCGCUAUACAUCCAUCCAUCAGUCGCCGCAAUGCUGUCUCCGACGCUCACCCGCAACACCUAGCCAUGGUUAGGCUUUGAGUUGCGACUUUUUGUCCUUCGUCCGCGCAUCUCCGGUGGCUCCUCUUUGCCACACACAACGGCCGCUGCAUCUUCUACAAACAUUUAAGCUGAACAAUCCUAACUCUCAUCCCCUAACUCUCAUCCCUUCUCUACUCCGCGCCAUUGGUUGUGCCGAAUGUGAUAUAGGGUUAGUAGGAUACUAGUCAUCCAAAUUAUUAAGUAUAUGGACAUACUCCAAAUUAGGAUUGAAUCCUUAAGACUUUUAUUGAAAAUAAUAGUUAUUUAUGCGAGGCACGUAAAAAAAAUGAUUUUGUUGGUUACUAUGUCAAUAAUAAAACUUGAGAAUGGUACUAUACCUCAAGGUCAUUUAUUUGUGACAUGGAGUGAGCACAGACUAGCAUCGGACAAAACUUUAAGUACCAUAUAAAGAUAAGUACAGUGAACUUUAAAUACCAUAUCACAAUUUCCAUAUUUUACAAAUAAUAUCACGCUCGAUUAAUUUCUGUGGUUCUAGCUAUUUAAUUGGUUGAAACACAUUGUUUAAGAAACAUUUCAAUUAAUUUUAAUAGUUUACGAUAUAAGGAUCAAUGAUAAAUAUUUUCUUAAUGACAUGGAUUAAUAUAUGUGUAUCAUGCACAACUAAGAAUGGGUUCCUCCGCAAGCAGCCGGGCCAAGACAAUGCCGGCGGCAGCGGACUACACCACCUCCUAUGAUUCUACAAAUCCCUCCCUUGCCUCCCGCUUAAGCAGUUCAGAGGUAAAUUUUGGAUGGAGCUGAAGUUAAUUUGAUGUUGUUAUCAUAUAGAUGGAUGAUGAUACAUGAAUGUUCUUUAUUCGUAAAUAUAAUCAUCUCAUGAAGCGUGAACAUUUAAUUGGCUUUCUCCAAUACAUAGCUUCAAAAGAAUGCAGAAAAUAUCAUGAACCGUUGAUUAAUUUCUGUUUUGUGAGAUUUCAGAGACUCAAUGGUUCAUUUUUCAGCAGAAGUCAUGCCCAAUUUUUAUUUCCAUCAUUGAACUUAUAUAAUUAUUCCAUAACAUGAACUUAGGCAAUGGACGAAGGAGGUCCCUUCUGUGGCGACAUGAGCCUAGGCGCAUGUUACAUAGUUCACAUAACUCGCAGUGAGUUAUGUGUCGAUCUUCAAGACGACUUUAUGAAGGGCGGUAUGUUCCAUUUAAUUGCCCAAUUGUCUAAUUAUUCCAAAAUUUUCUAAUUUAUGUUUACCUUUUAUCAUACUCAGCGCAUCCCUUGCUGGGGAAGGGAGGAUUUCAUGUCUGUGGAUAAGGAGUGGACGAUUCAGUUCGACAUGAUGCGCCUUAAGAAUGGUAUUAUAUUAACCCUCAAUCUCACCAAAGGGGGAGGGAGGACGUAUUUCUAUGGUCAAAAUUAAAUGAACAUUGCCACAAAAUUACGGAUGCAAGCAGGGAGGUCGUUCUUACUUUUUCUUCAUGAAUUUCAGGAGGGUCAUCAGGGCGACAACAAGAUCUAUAUGUGGUACGGUAUCCCACAGUCAUUGUAUUACCGCAUAGGAGGAUACCUAUGUCCACAGAACCUGCGAAUACCGUCCUCUAGCUGAGAUUAAGAAGAUUAUUGGUGAGAUGAUGGAUUUAGUUUCAUGUUUUUAUGACGGAGCUUAAGUUAAUUUCAUGCUUCUUAUGUUACCUAUAUGCUUUUAUGUUGUAAAUAAGCAUGUUUAAUUUAUACACAUAUCCCAUAGGGACCCCCUUUAUGAAUACAACAAAUGAACGGGGAUUAUUAUAUGAUAACUUAUGCCCAUAGCCAAUAGGUGCUUGUUUACACGCUAAACAAUGAUCUCUCCUAUAGUACAUGGAGGUUCUUGAAUCGAUUCUGGCAGCGAUACAUACAUCUCUUAUAGAGUUACUCCAGAAUGACUCCCAAAUGAAUAAAAUAAACAAGUUAGAUUCACUCGUUGUUAAAUAAAACAUGAUACCCAUGUUAUGUACUAGUCGUCGUGCAUUCUCACCAGUUGAUAUUCAUCUUUUUCUCUGGUCCCAUACUUCAGAAGCGAGGGAAGAAUGAUAACAUGGGCGAGGGACCUUCCAUACAUGCAUCUAUUCUAGAGUUAUUCAUUUUUUCUAUGGUGCAUGUAUUCGUGGGUUCAUGGCUUUUUUUGUUCUUUUGCAGGUGAUGUCAAAUCGGGAAAGAAUGAUUGAGUAAAAGAGCAACAUCUGCCAUAUUCGGCCAUUUGAUUCUUCCUACUUUCUUUCUUAUCGGUUACGCACAUUGAUGAUCUUUGUGUAAGUCUAUCUAAAUUGUAAUUUGAUGCUGAUGUAUGUAGGUUGGAUGAUGAUCAUGUAUGUAAAAUGGAUGCCAACUUAUAUGCUAUAUAUAUGUACAUAACAAUAUAUAUACAUGACCUGUAUUCUGUUGUACGCAUAGUAUAGUACAUGCAUAUUUUAUAAAAACCAGAAAUUAUAAGCAGUGGGGGCAAGAACAGGUGCUCGCCAAUGGAGUAUGUGCUACGAUGCAACCUUGCUCUCAUCCACCCCACUAGUAGUGGCGGGUUCAACAUUUUGCCUGUCACAUAAGACGAAUUAGCAAUGGCGGGCCACCGCUCGCCACUGGUGGCCUAUUAGCAGUGGCAGGAGGUUAGCGCGGUGGGUUGCCCUGGGCCCCUAGCCCGUCAGUGAUGGUUAUCUUGCACCCGCUACUACUAGGCAUUCCUGCAGUAGUGAAGCGCCCCACCGAUAAGCGUCUAUCAUACUAUGUUAGGCUCACAGUAGAUAAAAAAUGGAUGAAUAAUAGAAGAAAAUAAUUGUCCAAGAGAGAGAAUUCAUGGAAACUAUCAACGCGAAUGCGAAUGAACUCCGAUUGAGUCAGUUUCAAAGGUGUCGGAAAGAUCUCGGGAAACUAGGAUACAAGGACUUUAAAUUUUGCAAUCUGCAUGAUUUUACACACACACACACACAAUCUGAGCACUCGUGUGGUAAAUUUCGGACCCAAAAAUGCCCGUUUAGACCCUCAAGAAGGGCUCAGAAGUUUGGAAAACUAUUUGUCAUUCUACCAUAUUCAACAAGGAUAAAAUGCAGUCGCAUGCUGACCUAGCCUAAUCAAAGAUCGUGUGUUUCCACCAGAGUCUAGAUACUCGUCGUCAAAGACGUCUCUCCCAUCACUAUUGCACCUCAGAGGAGAUAUCAGAAGACUUAGAUGUCCAAUACCGCAUUGCCUCCCGUCACUAUUGCACCUCCUUGAAUCUACCAACAACAUGUUGACUUGUGGCUUGUGUAGGAGUAACCAUGUGUAGCACGUGCCGACGGCAAUCAUGACUUGGAGUCUCUGCAUGAGUCAUCAUGCGCACCUACCGGCGACAAGCUUGACUUGACCUAUUUGGCACAACGGGACAUCCAAUUUCCUAACAUAGGAGCACAUAUGUUCAUUAAACCGUAGCUAACAUGCCCGAAUUUUGGCCAUUCAUUACAUUUAAACAUUUUACAUUAGCGAAAAACAUUUCGCAUUAAAAGUAGAAUUUGAAGAAAUUUUCCAAGGCCCAUGUCAUUUGUGUCAUUCCAAUAAACUGUUUGAAAAUAAGGUAAAAAUCGAUUCUUGUUUUUUAUUUGGAAAAUUCUUUUUCAAAUAUGCAUUUAAAACCCGAGUAAUUUGCAAACAUUUUUUACAUGAGAAGUGAUCCUCGCGGAUUUUCAAACUUGUACGUCGUGGAGUACAAGUAUGAUUGCAGAAUCAUAUUGUACAACUUGUUGCAGAAUAUGUUUUUUCUGUAUCAAUGGAAGAAUUAGGUAAAGCUUUAUUGGAUCGUUCAAUGGGUUUCCAAGAUCGAUACAUUACACGAUGUUCAUAUUGAUUCAUGGUAAACAUAUUAGAAGACACAACUAAUAAUGGGCCAAAGCAUGUCUCUGAGAGAGAUCUACGUAUAAUCUAGACAAAAAGCCAAUCAAAGGGGACGCGGUAUUGAAGGUAUAGGGUCAUACACCCCGGCUGCUAAUAAUGGCAGUUGCAUGACUCUUUAGGCCUCAUGGCAACAAACUAGCUACAUGAUACAAGCUAGACACACCUAUCAGCUAGUACAAGAACGAGGUUGUGUACUUGGUCUGCACAGCAAUCUUCAGUUUAUGUUUUUAGAUAUUGUUGAUGGCUAGACUGGACGAAAUUAGUUUUAGCGCAUUUUCAAGAGAAAGUGUUUUAACAUUAGAACAGCACUCUGUGUGGUACAGCAUACCCACUUCAUUCCAAGUGUAUGAUUCCUGAUGUCUCAUAUUCUCAAAAUUAGACAUUGUUACUUCCUUGCAUUGUUUAUUUUAUCAAUUGGUUCGGAUAGGGAAGAAAAUUACUAUUAAAAUAAGUCAAGAACUAAGAGAGAGAACCCUAUCAAACUGUGGUGCUAUAAAUGGGCAGUGAACAACACAUGGUGAGGUAACAGAGAAAAGUUAUCUCGUGUCAAUCACAAUGACCCUCUAGGACAGAAAAUAUAUCUAAAAUGGGAGAGAUUCAUCUGGUGGAACCCACAUUCCUGUUUGUCUUGUCUACAUGUUAUAGCCCGCAGCAGCAGCCUCCCCAAACAUUAUCCACUACGGAGCUCUUUUGAUUUUCUUGUUCCCAUAGUUAUCUGUUCGAGAGAAGUAUUGAUAUCUUGUUCACAUAAAGCCAUGCUAGUUUGAUUUUCCAUCUGCCAAAAGGUAUGGUAAACAGAAAAAUCGAAACAUUGUUAAUUGUGUGGUACCUUGUGUCACCCUGGUCAGCAAGGGGCACGUUUGUAUCUCAUCGCAGCAAGAAAAAUAACAGGCGUCCACUGGGUCUAACAAAACUAGGAAAUUCAGAGAAAGCGUACGUUUUUUUUUGUUCAUUUUUCCCUUUUUGUUUCCUCCUUUGUUGUUGUUGUUGUUAUUGUUGUUGUUGUUGUUGUUGUUGUUUAUAUCUCAAAAUAUUAUAUAAUAUAUACACACACGGAAAAUACAUUAUGUAACUGUGUGUAUUUACAUCAACGUGUCAUAUAAAAUCAUGUGGUGAAAGUACAUCUGAUAACUGGGUGUAUUUACAUCCAAAUAUUUCAAAAAAUAUAUUUACUCAAUUUAAAAAAAUGUUCAUCACCCAUUAAAAAAUGGCCAGGAAAAUAUAAGGUUUGCUUGUGCAAUUUUAAAAAGUAUCAUACCAUUCAAUGAAAUGUUUACCAUGCUUAGAUAAAUGUUCUCCAAACGAAAUCAUGUUCAUCAUAUAUUAGUAAAAUGAUCAUGAAACAAACAAUUUUUCUGCAUAAAUUUAAACAGAUAUUAUUCCAAUCAAAAAAGUAACCGAUGCACGCUUCUCCAUUAGCGAGGCAUAGCAUUUUUCAGCCAUGAACGUGAGUGGUGGCGUCUUCCUACAGAUUGGGCUAACCAAGACAAUGUUCGAGGUCGAAAAUUAUAUCUCGGAUAGCAAUGCUUUAUGGUGGUUGGGCCACUGGUUAUCGAUAAUAGACUAAUGUUUAUGGGAUGGACGUGUCACACGAGGCCACGAGCAUGUCAGCAUGAGCGCCGACGUGAGGGCGCUCAUGAGCUGAGCGUCCCAUGACAGGCUGACGCGACAUUCGACAACAAGGUGCUCGUAACGAAGCAUAGAAUCACUGGGUCAGACUAUGUGGCUCUCACUUUUUUUUCUCACUGGUCACUCCUCAGGACUAUCCAGUUACAACAGUGCGAAAAUCGCACCAUGAAAAAGCGCAACUCACACCUCUUCGUUGAACUCACCAAAGUUACAGAGAGAUUAAAUAGGAGCCGAUUCCCUCAAACAUGUCGUAAGUGUUGUACAGGCGGCUGUACGCAGCAAGUUACUAGUGGUAUAUAUAUUGUAAACAAUACACAUCUUCAUAGAUGUGAAUAUUUAUUUUGGAAGGUAAACACUUUCACCCGACGCGUCGGCCGAAUCGUUCAGCCAGUCGCGCGCGGGCCGCGCGCCUCGCUGUCAGAUGUAUGCAACAUUUUUUCAUUAAAUUUGCUGCAACCAUGUGUUGUAGAGGCGGCUGUAUGGCAAAGGGCGCAUGUCUCACUGUUGUCUAUGCUACACAGGUAUGAAUCCUGAGGCAAGCAGUGUUGGAGUUGCCCAGGAGAUCGAUUUAUAAACACACGCAAGUACACAGUUGACACACCUACACUUUUCCGUGAUACAAAAUGGAGAAGAAGAAGACAAACACGAAGAGCUUUUCCGGCACACGCACUUGUAUCUUUUCUGUAUUCCUCAUCUCUCACUCUGGAUGUAACGCAGUUACAUGGCUUAAAUAGCCGAAUCACUUGGCUAUCACAAAGCCACUACUCCACUACCUUUUUUUUAGACACACUACUCCACUACCCACACACACACACACGCACACGCACACAUGCAUGGUCAAGCCCACAAACUGCUUGAUCCACUAAUCGCUACCACUAGCCGGUAUGUAGGCCGCAAGUAACAUCGCCUCACACGGCUACACGAUUCAGCCGGUGAGCCACUCCUUUGCUGAUUACAUAUGGUCCUUAACUUAGGGGGUGUUUGGUUACAGGAAUUUAUUAGGGACUUAGAACUUAUAAGUCCCUUUAAGUCUCAUCUAAACCAAACAGGAGGGACUUAUAGAGACUUAAAGUAGGUAUUUGGGACUUAUGAAAUAAGACUCUCAAGGAGAGUUAUGAGGACUUAUAGUUGUAAUAUGGUCUUUUAGUCCAUGUUAAGUCCUAUCAACCAAACAGAUAGGAACUUUUUAGGAACUUAGGACUUAUAAGUUGAGACUAAAAAAAGUCCUAGGACUUAUGAACCAAACAGGACCUUAGCCUAUCUAACAGCUAGAUUUAACUAACAAUGCAUGCAACUAACUAACGCUACUAGCUUUGCAUGCGUGCAUAUGGGGGCAACUUCUAGUGUUACAACAUAGCUACAAAUUAAACAUGCUCUAACACUAAUAACAAGAUUAGUUUUAACAUUCACCUCCAUAAUCUUGAUAACUUAUUUCUCUCUUCAAGCCCGUGGUCGUUGAUGCCGACAUCUCACCGGUGCAACACGGAGACGGCCGUCAAUGCCAUCUUGUCAUGCCGAUUGUCGUCGUCUCCGUUUGCAUCAUGAGAGCCACACCUCCUACGCCUUCACCACGAGCGUGCCACGCGAUACACUCGUUGUCUCAUAUUCGCCAUCGGUGUUGCAACUCACCGAUGACUCGCCUCCAUCUUUGCCACGGUGCCGCAACUCGCUGAUGACUCGCCACGAUGUUGUCGAUGAUGACGCAGCUUCUUGCCGACUUGCACAUGGUCACAUGGACGGUGAAAUCCUCAUGGCAAUGGCCUCUGCAAUAUGGCCAUGGCCUCUUUGCCGCCGGUGACGCAACUUAUCGGGCAGCAUACCUUUUCCCAUCGCUCGUGACGCAGCUCAACGAUGAUCGAUGGAGACACGCACCGGCCGCUCGCAGUAUGACGCCGCCAACAACGUCCACCUUGCACCACCGACGUCCCUCUCACAUGGAGUCCGCCGCGUCGCCACCAUUGCCUCAGAUCGACAAGGCUCUGAAUACCAAAUCUUGAGGCUGCCCAAGGAAGAAGAAGACUCACACACACACAAGGCCAAGGAAGAAGAAGAUACACACACUUUUGGCACACGCACAUAGUGCCUUUUCUCUUGUAUUUCUUCUCUCCACGCACUCAUAAAUGGAUUACAUGUAUGGGCUUAAAUAGCCCGACUCACAUAGGCUACACGCAGCCACUAAGGCUGGUCACAAUGGGGAGUAACAUAAGGUAGGAACCUACACACUUUUCUAGACUAUGUUUCUACCUCCACAAUGGGGAGUAACAUGUAUGUAGUGUCAUGCAACAAUGCAUUUAUUAGGCUAUAGACUCAUUGUUUCUUGGAGUGUGUGAUGUUCCGGUAACUUAGCUAGUUACCACAAGCACCUCUCUCUUUAUUAAAUACGUACCACAUAAGCAAAGUUGUAUUGGAGUGUGUGAUGUUACUGCUAAGUUCCUCCCCAUUGUGACCAGCCUAACCCCAUUACUACUAUGCACACACACACACACACCUCUACAUGCAUGCACCCACUCAACGGCCAGCCACACGCAUUGGCUUGAUACGGUAGUUACUCAACUGACCACUAACUCACACGUACAAGCUUGAGUCAUCUCCAAGUUUUCUGCGGAACAUGGUUAAGAGCUCACGCAGCCGGCGCAUGCCAUAACUGAUUGUGCCCGCUUCUUUCUCCGCCUAUUUCUGCUAGCAACUCGGCCGCUCGGACUCCACGAAGCUUGAUGCAUGCAGCUAACAUAUAAAUGCAAACUACUAACAAGCCCAACGACACACACUGCUGACUUGCAUAUACGCAUAUGAUCCCUUCUCUUCGUGAUUACAUGCCCGCAGCCAAACUAGUGUUGGACGUGAUAACUUGCAUGACACUAAUAAAUAAAUAUGAUGAAAACCAAAACAACAAAGUUAACUCCAACAAGCAGAUACAGACCUUUGCCUAACGGAAGAAACACAGUGUCCAUUACUAAGCGCAGUUUUCACACUAGGAGGUCUUACCCUGAUGUCUUCUAUUCUUAAGCUAGGGUUUCUCUUCUUUUUCCCUUGCAUUCUUUUUGCCUAACAGUUGGCGGAGCAGAGAAACAUACCCAAGUGACUUGUGAAAUGCGAAUAUAGCUUUGACAUGUUAGUAGUGGUAUAUAUAUUGUAAACAAUGCGCAUUUUGGUAGAUGUGAAUAUUUAUUUCUGAAGCACUUCAAAUAUACAAGCAUCCUAUAUAAUGUGUGUCUACCAUACUCACAAAGUUAGACUGAACACGCUUAGAGCAUCUCCACCUACCCCCAGGAGAACUUGUCAGGCUUGGUUUUAGGCUCGGCGAUGCUUUUUGCCGAAAAACAGCCCAGCCACGCCGCUAGCGCAUCCCCAGGACGUCAAAACAGCACUGGGAAAUCUAGUAGAAACCCAGCGCGGUGGGGGUCUCUUGGGGGCGCUGGCGGAAGUUUUGGUGAAUCGUGUCUGCCCACAUGUCUGUUUUCUUGCCCACUUAAUCAUUUCCCUCACAAACUUUUGAUUUGGGUGGGGUUUGGCUGGAAGGAUGCCCUCCCAUGAAGUCCUAUUUCGGUCGGAUGAAGCAUUUGCCCCUUCCCUCCCAAAGACACCAACUUUUUUGGUUUGGUGGUGUUCUUGGGGGUUCCAAUGGCUGGAGAUGCUCCUACAGCUCGAAUGAUUAGACUAUAGUAGCGGCAACAACAGAGGAUGUGUUCACAAUAUAGUCUCUUAAAAGUAUUUCAUAAAGCGCGUUAAAAUAGUAAGGAUCCACAUUACAUUACACUAGUGUAGUUCUGUGCUAUUAAAACACCCCUAUCGCACACCCUAGCAUAUGGGCGACCAAGGCAUCACAUAUGUGACAAAAGUAAAGCUGUUAGCUUAAAAAUGGAAUAUGUGUGAUGGACAACAGAUCGCGCACGAUUGGGGAUGAAAAAUUGUGUUCCAUUCUUUGCACGUAAUUCUUCUCAAAGAAGCGUGGGCGAUCAACUGAAAUAUUGCACAGGUAUUGGCAAAUGAAUUGUGUGUUCUGCAUAGCAGACGGUUCUGCUGGAAAAAAUUGUAUGUUAUUUUGUGAACUAUCCCACAAACUUGGUUCAUCAUGUGUAAUUUAGAACAUAUGCUUAAUUUUUGACUAAUCAUGUAAGAUCGUUGGAUAUAUGUUUACUACCGCAACCAGUUACGCAUAAGAACUUGGAUAUAUACUGCAGUGCGACACCACAAGGUCAAGGGGAAGGAGACAUGUUCUCAUUUCAACGAUCUACAUGUACAAAUCGUAACUAGUGUAGGCGAACAUGGCCAGAUAAGUGAACUGCUUUCGACUCUAUCUUUCCACCCAGAUCUUGUGCCAGCUAUGCUUCUCGAUGCCGUCUUUCAUGCCGGCGUUGGACAGAUGAAUGAUGUUGGCGGCGAGGUGAACCAAUGAGUCAUGUCUCUUCCUCUUGUUUAGGAUGUUCUAUUGCUUCUGGAUAUCGUUAGUAUUCGGGCAUGGCCUGGCCGAAUUACCGAGCACAUGUGCAUCGUUGGUGGUGUCCACAAAGUAUCGUAGUAUUGUAAUUGUGGUAGACGAGGAUGUCAUAAGCCAGUUAUAACUGGGAGUCGACGACCUUCUUUUUUUUUGCGAGACGGGAGUCGACGACCUUGGGAUCAUAGGUGGGACAUGUGCAGACUUAUAUGAGGUCGAUCACGUAAGCCUACCUCGUAUGUCUCCUCCCUCCGGAUUCACUCAAACGUGGCCGUGAUAGACUCCACCGACUCCGGCUCGUUGUUGUGCAACAUUGUGAGGACGGUGGCAUUGUACGUAUGACCUCACGGUGAACUCCUUGGUGAAGUGCUCACACACAUUCACUCCCGGGUUGUCAUUGUAGAAGCCUCCAUCCCCUUUACAU